RNAcentral lists this long non-coding RNA (65620 nucleotides) under Triticum aestivum (bread wheat). Its description in RNAcentral is "long non-coding RNA (TAES_LNC010899)". The stretch from base 61115 to 61247 matches the Rfam family "MIR1120/MIR1122 microRNA precursor family". Lineage: Eukaryota; Viridiplantae; Streptophyta; Magnoliopsida; Poales; Poaceae. The record is from RNAcentral.
AAAAAAGUUGUAUUGGUUUCGACCCAAGGUAAGUAAUUAAGUAGUACUAGCUAUCUAGCUACACUAGUAGAAAAUGGGUCAAAUGUGAAGCACAUUAGUGCCGGUUUGAUUUUGAGCCAGCACUAAUGUGUGCAUUAGUGUCGGUUCCAACGGCUAGUCGGCCGCUCUCAUUAGUAUCGGUUCAUGGCGAACCUUUAGCUCCGGUUCAUGCCACAAACCAGUACUAAAGUGAGUGGUGGCAAGAUGUUGUCAGUCUGGGGCCCCUCCAGCACCUUUAGUACCGGUCCGUAUCACGAACCAGUACUAAAGGUCUUCCUACAUAAACCCUUCGUCCACCCGAGCUCGCUCUGUUCUUCCCCUUUCCCCUCUCCUCUAUGUUCUUUCCCUCUUCCUCUCAAGCUCAUCACAAAUUUUGCCCAAAAUUGGUCAAGAUUUGAAGGCCCCCAUCCAUUCAAAUGAUCACAAAGGUUAGCAACUUUGUCUUUUCAUCUCCCAUUGCUAGAUUAGCUCUUGCAAUGCUUUAUAUAGUGAUUGAUUUGUGAGUUUAGUAAUUUGUGAGGAAUUAUAUAUAUAUAUAUGUGCUAGUAUUUGAUUUAUAUGCAAUUUGUGGUCAAAAAUAACACUUAGUUUGCAUAUGUAGGUGUGGUUUACUUAGUGCCUUCUAAAUCUCCGUCGUAACCACUGUCAAUCGCCCGCAACGUCCCGUCGCCGGCACCACCUUGUGGUGAGCCUCUUGUUCAUGAAUGUUUUAUAUAAAAAAUUGAUGUUUGUGUGAUUUGGAUAUAUAGUUACUCGUAUAAUUAUCUUACCCAUACGUUGUUUGUUAUACAUAGUGACAUGGUUUUGAUAUCCGCCCCCGUCGGCCCUCGUCCGGGUUAUGAUUCGGAUGUGGUAUAUUCUUUUUUAAAACUAUUUGUUGCAAUUCGUGUUUAUGACAAAUUAUGCCCAUCAAGUUGACAUAGAUAUUUGUAUGUAGGAGGUAGUUGAACCGGAAAUUCCAACCGACCCUAUUAUCCAAAGGUUAAAUUUAGUUGAAAGAGAAAACGAGGAUUUGAAGGAAAAUUGAAAAAAAUUGAGGGGGAGAAGAUGGAAUUGGAAUUGCAUGUUGCUGAUGUCGUCGAUGAUCACAAGAUUAAGAUGGAGAAAAUGCGCUUGAAGAUCAGAAAAAUUAGAAAAUAUGCCAUUCAUAGUGAGGCUUGGUAUCAUUAUGCUGUUGGAUCAAUUGUUACCUUAGUUGCGAUCUUGAUCGCAUUUGUUGUUGCAUUUAAAUUCUUUAGCUAGAGAGUUAUUUGUUUGUUGCAUUUAAGUGUUGUAUGAACUUUAUUAAUUUGGUAUUUUUCGGUGUUGUGUAAUGAAGAUGAGCCGACAAUGGAUGUACGAUGACCGAUGCUCUCCCGAGUUCAUUAAUGGCGUGCAAACUUUUCUGCUUGCGGCUGAGGCAAACAAGCGGGCGGAUGGUUUUAUGCCUUGUCCAUGUGUUGGCUGUAAGAAUGAUAACAAUUACUCUAAGUCAAGAACCAUUCACGUCCACCUGUUUAAGUUCGGUUUCAUGCCCCGCUAUAAUGUUUGGACCAAGCACGGAGAAAGAGGGGUUAUGAUGGAAGACAAUGAAGAAGAAGAGGACGACGACAGCUAUCCUGGCCAUGAUGGGUUCCCUGAAUACGAUGAUACAACAAUGGGGGAAGAAGCUGAGCCGGCAAUUCGGGAAGAAGCUGAAGAAGAGGCAUCAGAUGAGCCCGCUGAUGAUCUAGGUCGGGCCAUUGCCGAUGCAAAGAGAAACUGCGCAAGUGAUUUGGAGAAGAAGAAGUUGCAGCGCAUGUUAGAGGAUCACAAGAAAUUGUUGCGCCCGAAUUGCGAAGCUGAUAAGAAAAAGUUGGGCACCACACUGGAAUUGCUGCAAUGGAAGGCAGAGAAUGGUGUAUCUUACAAGGGAUUUGGAAAGUUGCUGGUAAUGAUAAAGAAUAUGCUUCCAAAGGACAACGAAUUGCCCGAGAGUACGUACGAAGCAAAGAAGAUUGUCUGCCCUCUAGGGUUAGAGGUGCAGAAGAUACACGCAAGCCCUAAUGACUGCAUCCUCUACCGUGAUGAGUAUGAGGAUUUGAACGCUUGCCCGGUAUGCGGUGCAUUGCGCUAUAAGAUCAGGCGCGAUGACCCUGGUGAUGUCGAGGGCGAGCGCCCCAGGAAGAGGAUUCCUGCCAAGGUGAUGUGAUAUGCUCCUACAAUACCAUGGUUGAAAUGUUUGUUCCCAAACAAAGAGCAUGUCAAGGCGAUGCGAUGGCACAGAGAAGACCGUAAGAAAGACGAAAAUUUGAGAGUACCCGUUGACGGGUCGCAGUGGAGAAAAAUCGAGAGAAAGUAUGGGAAGGAGUUUGCAGAUGACGCAAGGAACAUAUGGUUUGGUCUAAGCGCAGAUGGCAUUAAUCCUUUUGGGGAGCAGAGCAGCAACCAUAGCACCUGGCCUGUGAAUCUAUGUUUGUAUAACCUUCCUCCUUGGUUGUGCAUGAAGCGGAAGUUCAUUAUGAUGCCAGUGCUCAUCCAAGGCCCUAAGCAACCCGGCAACGACAUUGAUGUGUACCUAAGGCCAUUAGUUGAAGAACUCUUACAGCUGUGGAAUGGAACAGGUGUACGUGCGUGGGAUGAGCACAUGGGGGAAGAAUUUGACCUAAAGGCCUUGUUGUUCGUGACCAUCAAUGAUUGGCCUGCCCUCAGUAACCUUUCAGGACAGAGAAACAAGGGAUACCGCGCAUGCACGCACUGUUUGGAUGUUACCAACAUUAUAUAUUUGAAAAAUUGUAGGAAGAAUGUGUACCUGGGACAUCGUCAAUUUCUUCCGAGCAGGCAUCCCGUAAGAAAGAAAGGCAAGUGAGGGAGUCCUGGAUUAGGGCGUCUCCGGACAGCCGGACUGUUAGACUAUGAAGAUACAAGAUUGAAGACUUCGUCUCGUGUCCAGAUGGGACUCUACUUGGCAUGGAAGGCAAGCUAGGCAAUACGGAUAUGGAUAUCUCCUCCUUUGUAACCGGCCUUAUGUAACCCUAACCCUCUCCGGUGUUUAUAUAAACCGAAGGGUUUUAGUCCGUAGGACAACAAUCACAACAUACAAUCAUACCAUAGGCUAGCUUCUAGGGUUUAGCCUCUCCGAUCUCGUGGUAGAUCUACUCUUGUACUACCCAUAUCAUCAAUAUUAAUCAAGCAGGAUGUAGGGUUUUACCUCCAUCAAGAGGGCCCGAACCUGGGUAAAACAUCACGUCCCCUGCCUCCUGUUACCAUCCGUCCUAGACGCACAGUUCGGGACCCCCUACCCGAGAUCCACCGGUUUUGACACCGACAUUGGUGUUUUCAUUGAGAGUUCCUCUGUGUCGUCGCCGUUAGGCUUGAUGGCUCCUACUAUCAUCGAUAGCGAUGCGGUCCAGGGUGAGACUUUUCUCCCCGGACAGAUCUUCGUAUUCGGCGGCUUUGCACUGCGAGCUAAUUCGCUUGGACAUCUGGAGCAGAUUGAAAGCUACGCCCCUGGCCGUUAGGUCAGAUUUGGAAGUUUGAACUACACGACCGACAUCCGCGGAGACUUGAUCUUCGACAGAUUCGAGCCACAGCCAGGCACGCCGCAUUGUCACGAUGGGUAUGACCUAGCUCUGCCGCCGAAUAGUACCCCAGAGGCCGCGCCCGCAUCAGCUCCGACCCUUAGCUCGGAGCCAACUGCGCCAAUCGAGGACGGGUGGUUAGACACCACCUCAGGGGCUGCAGUCUCAAUGGCGAUCGAGCCGAACACCAGCCUAAUCCUCUGCGCAGCCCGUGCCCCCAAGGUGCCGGACUCUUUUUCUGACUCCGAACCGCCCGCGCCACUACCAAUCGAAUCCGAUUGGGCACCAAUCAUGGAAUUCACCGCCGCGGAUAUCUUUCAGCACUCGCCCUUCGGCGACAUUCUGAAUUCACUAAAGUCUCUCUCUUUGUCAGGAGAGCCCUGGCCGGAUUAUGGCCAACAGGAUUGGGAUGCGAACGACGAAGAAAUUCGAUGCCCACCCACCACCCACUUAAUAGCCACUGUCGAUGACUCAAUCGACAUGCUCGACUUCGACUCUGAAUACAUCGACGGUAUGGACGACGAUGCGGGAGGCGAAGAGGAACCACCGCCCACAGGGCGCUGGACGUCCACCUCAUCAUAUGACGUAUACAUGGUGGACACACCAAAAGAAGACGACGUCAAGGAAUGGAAGGACGCAACGAAGGCUUGUUCCCUCGAGAAGCAGUCAAAGCGGUGGCGCAAGCGCCGCCCCAAAUCACGCCUCGGUAGAAAUAACGAUCAUACAGACCUAGCGCUGGAGCAGGGCGAACCACCGCCGGACCACGGCAAUAGGGAGAAUCAAACUGAACAAACCAAUUCUGUCAAAGAUGAUAGUCCAGACGACAUAACGUUGGACAAGCACCCGGAGCAGCAGAAUGCUCGCCAAAGGCUUGUUGCCACCGCGAGGAGUCUGAAAAAGCAGAAGCAAAGGCUCAAGGCUGCGUAGGACACACUCCAAAUCAGAUGGAGUAAAGUACUCAACACAGCAGCGAAGUACGGCGGUAAUCGCCCCACCAAGAGCUACCCAAAGUAGAAGUUGCUACCUGAAUUCGAUGAGGAGGCCUCAGACCCCCCCCCCCCACAACCAAAAAUUAAAACAGCCAUCUGGCCGGAUAGACGACCUCACGGCCAACAUAAAGCAGCAAGCAACACCACACAUAAGCCAAUACGCGGUCUACGCGAGGGCUCACAUCAAAAGGAGGGCGAAACCAGAUCCAUCUAUGGACCACGCAAGCGUGCUACAGCAUAGAUGCAACACAACAAACAUCCGAACAACACGGUACACCCAGAUAUAGGGGUGCCGCACACCCCCUAUGUUUCACCGAUGAGGUGCUGGACCAUGAAUUUCCAGAGGGAUUCAAACCCGUAAACAUAGAGGCAUACGAUGGAACAACAGACCCUAGGGUCUGGAUUGAGGACUAUAUCCUCCAUAUCCACAUGGCUCGAGGAGAUGAUCUCCACGCCAUUAAGUAUUUACCCCUCAAACUCAAAGGGCCAGCUCGGCACUGGCUUAAGAGCCUCCCCAAAAGCUCCAUUGGAAGUUGGGAAGAGCUCAAAGACGCCUUUCGGGCAAAUUUUCAAGGGACUUAUGUCCGACCUCCGGACGCGGAUGAUUUGAGUCAUAUAACUCAACAGCCCGGAGAGUCAGCCCAAAAGCUUUGGAACAGGUUUUUUACUAAAAAGAACCAAAUUGUUGACUGUCUGGACGCCGAAGCAUUGGAAGCUUUUAAGCAUAGCGUCCGUGAAGAAUGGCUUGCCAGACACCCCGGCCAAGAAAAGCUGAGAACAAUGGCAGCAUUAACAAGCCUCAUGACCCGCUUUUCCGCAGGUGAGGAUAGCUGGCUAGCCAGAUGCAGCACCAGUGACCCCAGUACAUCCGAAGUUAGAGAUGGAAAUGGGAAAGCACGGCACAACAACAAUAACAAACGCCGGAAUAAAGAAGACAACACGAAGAGCACGGCAGUAAACGCCGGAUUCAAAAGCUCUCGGCCAGGUCAGCAAAAGCCGCCCUCUAAAGGCGUCAGAGACGAAUUGUCCAGCCUAAACAAAAUUCUGGACCAAAUAUGUCAGAUCCAUAGCACCCCUGGUAAACCCGCUAAUCAUACCCACAGAGAAUGUUGGGUCUUCAAGCAGUCCGGCAAGCUCAACGCCGUACACAAGGGGGAGGAUACACCAAGCGAAGACGAGGAUGAGCCUCUCAAGCAAGACACUGGGGAACAAAAGUAAUUUCCACCAGAAGUCAAAACAGUAAACGUGUUACACGUGAUCAAGGGAAGAAACAAAAUGGCACUCCCAAAAAAAUAUGCCCAAGGGCCUAUUACCGCGGAGUCCUGCCACUGGACGUCUCAACCGAUCACUUUCGACCAUCGUGAUUACUCAGCAGGUAUCCGGCGUGCAGGAUGGGCUGCCCUGGUAUUAGACCCAAUAAUUGACGAUACCACCUCACACGAGUCCUGAUGGACGGUGGCAGCAGUCUAAACCUGAUAUACCAGGAUACAAUCCGCGAAAUGGGGAUAGACCCAACGAAAAUUUGCCAUAGCAAUACUACCUUUAAAGGAGUAACGCCAGGCCCAGGGGCUCAUUGCACGGGCUCCCUGCUACUAAAGGUUAUAUUCGGCUUCCCCGAUAACUUCCGUAGUGAACAUUUAACCUUCCACAUCGCUCCCUUCCAAAGUGGCUAUCAAGCACUACUCGGACGCGAAGCUUCCGCUCGCUUUAACGCAAUACCGCACUACGCUUCCCUCACACUCAAGAUGCCCGGCCCACGUGGCAUCAUUACAGUGAACGGAAGUAUGAAGCGAUAUUUGCGCGCCAAAGAGAGUGCGGCUGCCUUGGCAGCCGCACACUAAAAAUGGCCUCACCAACUAAAGCAUUUAACAGGUCAUCAAGACCACGGACAUGGUUAGACGAGUCCGGCGCAGCUAUAUGUAAUUCAUACCGGUCACACCCCUAUUAGAAUUACAAGGGGCUAAACGCGCGCAAACAAGUGGCAAUUUUUACUCAUCUUGAAUUAUACGUGGUUUCUUUGAAAACUAUCUCUCUGCACGACAACUUUUUCACCUAAAAUCCUCUCUUUUACAGAUGACCGUCAUGCUACACCCGUCCAGGAUACGGCACAACGGAGACACAGGCGCAGACGUGCAGCAGGGACCCGUUUCAAGGAUUCUUUUUAGAUUAAGACCCUGCGUAAACCUUUUUUACUGUCUCUUGUUGAUACACAUCCACCGAACUCUCAGCACAAUUGAGAAGGAUGCUGACGUCUUGGCAUGUGGCCACAUCAGAACAAUGCACGUACCUGGACACAAGGGGCUUCUUACAAAGGGCACUAUUUAGGCCCGGUUUAUACCAUAAAGACCGAAUACCUUAGGGAGUGUUCGGCGUCGCGAGUUUGGCCUUAUAUGCAUCAGCUCCGAAUCAUUGUCUUUGGUCAAAUGUUGGGUUUGCCCGGCUCCUGUGUUUUGGUGCCUUACGUUCCGCUUUAUCGGCUAAGGUAGCACCAGGAGAACUACUGCGAUUGUGCCCUGGUUCAUCCGGACGAGCACCUCAGUAGAGAAAACCGAAAACUGACUGUCAUGAUAUAGCGUGAGACUGGUCAACCACUCGAUGACCUAUCGGAAUGUUAGAAUUCCUCCGCCUUAACGAAGGGCCGUUUUCCGGCCAGGCAUGUACGCACCCCAAGAUCGGGAGAGUGCGGAGCCACCAGGGGCUAUCUAGUAGCCCCACUGUCAAACUCCUAUGGCUAAGUGAAAGUGUUAAAGCAUUAUAGUCCGGUUGCCUCGUUCGCUACGCUAUCACCUCCUUAAUAGGACCAAGACGUUGGGUUAAGUGUGAACAUGCGUUUUUCGCGAGCACCUCCGCAUUAUAUGCGUGGGGGUUGAAGCCGACGGCUGCAAUCUUUCAGGUUAUACACAUGUAUACAUAAACGGCCGCACAGGAGGCAUCAUACUACUUUCAGGCAAAAGUAUAAACAUAGCCAUAUAAAAUUUCAUAAAAGCAUUGUGCUUACAAUGAGAAUACAUAUCACUCAAACAUAAUAUUCUUCGAGCACUGGGCCUCUAUCAAACGAGCACCCUCGAGAUACUCCUCGAAAUAGUGCUCGGCAGCCACUCGGCCUAUGGCCGAACCCUGCGCCACAACAGUGGUAGCGUCCAUCUCCGCCCAGUAUGCUUUAACACGGCCAAGGGCCAUCCGCGAGCCUUCUAUGCACGCCGACCUCUUCAUCACACUAAUGCACGGCACUGCACCAAGGAACCGCUGCACUAAGCUGAAAUAGUUGUUCGGCUUUGGCUUUUCCGCCCAUAGCUGAUCCACAACAGACCUCAUGGCGAGUCCGGACAACCUAUUCAGCUCGGCCCAUUCGGCUAGCUGGUUAGUCAAUGAAAGUGGACGCUCUAGAACGUUGAAUUGCGACCAGAACAGCUUGUCCACUUCACGAUCUGUUUGACCUUGGAAGUACUUGGCCGCAUCGGCAGCGCUCGCCGCCAAAUCCAUAUACGCAUCUGCCGAACUCCACAGCGAUCCAGAGGGGCAUACCGUGGAUCUCCGGACUUCCUCUGUAACAUGAAGGGCUUCCCAGCCGCAAUAUCCCCGGCUUCCCGCAACUCCUCCUUCUUCGCUCUCAUAACAGAAUGGGUGUCUUUGUCCGCCAUCGUGGCCUUCUCAAGGUCCGUUGGCUUCGCUCGGUUUUCUUUUUCAAGGACCCGGCAACGGUCGGCAGUGUCUUUUAAUUCUACGGCCAACUUGGCCAUCUUCUCUUGGCUCUCGCUGUCGGAGUAAAUAGCCAUGGGUAGCCUAGCCGGCUUCCCCUCGCCCUUCUAAAAAAAUUACGAGCCCGUCCGGCUCUCGAGAAUCCAAGACAUGGGGCCGCCUUCCCCUUGCUGGCUGUCACCCAGGCCGGCUUUCGGAAGGCGGCCCGACUUUAGCCCUCAUGAAGAAAGCCAUGGGAGGGCUGACUUCGAGAAACCGGCCGCGAGGAGGCCGACUCCGAGAAGCCGGCUCCCAUAAAGCGGUCGAGACCGUACCCUCAAAGUUUGCAUCCACCUAGCGGCGAUGAGACGGGGCGUGGCUACAGUAAAGCCUGCCACCCCCGAAUCCCGGAGCACGCCUGGCACAGUGCGCCGUACGGAGUGGGCAUGACCCGUCCGGCGCGGCACUGUUGCCAUGUUGACCCUGAUGUCACCCACGACGGGCCGCCAGCGCGGCCCACGGGCGGUGGGCCCCUUCAGGCAGAGAGAUUCCCGAAGGCGGCCAGGCCUCCCCCAGUCGGCCCGAGACGGAGCCGGGCUCCCUGCAGCCGGCUCGCUUCCCCCUCGAAGGAGACGCCCCAUUAAGGAGACAACACGCGGUAAGGCUAUAGCGAUCACCCGCCGGACGGCGGCACUAUAGCCACGCUUACCUCGACGAAGCCCUCGUCAUCAGGUUGAGGCAACAGUAAUCGGUCAUCGACAAGACCCUUGGCAGUGGGGCCUGCCUGUUGCCAAGGAGUUGGCAGCCGGCGGGACCCACCAGCCGGCGGGACCCACUAGCCGGCGGGCCCCAGCAGUCGGCGCAGAAGCCGGUGAGCGUAGUCACAGAUGGCUGGGCCCCGCGCCCAGUCGGAUUACCAUUGUACCCCCGGGGGGUAGGCCUAUAUAAACCCCCCGGGACACCCAUGCAAAGGGUUGGACCCCCAGCUAGUUUUAGACACCACACAAGGAGAAGAAGCAAGCUAGCCGUGCCCUUCUUCCUCCUCCCACCGAACAGCUCAAGGAGCAUUGUGUAGCUACUUGUCCAUCUAGCGAUCAUGCGGAGACCCCGCAGAGAGGCAGUAGGGGUGUUAUCUCCACGGAGAGCCCCGAAGCUGGGUAAGAUUCGCCAGCGUGCAUGUCUUCGCCUUAUCCCGUUUCCAGGCACCGGCGACGUCUUACUGGCUCCCACAAUGAUAAGCCACCCAUUGGCAUAUGUCGCACCUACCACCCGACAUUUGGCGCCCACCAUGGGGCCAGGUGCACCGUCGUCCGGAGACCUAUUCUGGACGGGAACCCUCUUCCUCCCCAGCGAGCGUAGCCAGCCCGGCACGCCCGAUGGCGCUUGCCACGACGCGCUGCAAGGCGUCACCAGCAUCUGCGCGGCGAGCAGCCUCGCCAAUCUCCUCGACGAGACCCUCAUCUCCGACGAGCUCGCCUCCAAUGCGGGCACCGACCACCUCGCCAACCUCCUCGGCCAGCUCCAUGUCUCCAGCGAGCCCGCUGUGGAUCUGGAGUCGGUUGGCCCCAUCGAUCCGAUGCCUGUCGACUCCAACACGGCCUCGUUCGGCACCUUCCCCACCAACGUCACAAUCUACAACGACCCGCUUCCCCGAGCCGAUGGCUGCGACGCUGUCACCACUGAGGUGAUGGUCAUCGGCCACGACGGCGCUGCUAACGAGAGGGCCCACGACGCCCCACACGCGGCGGUCCACGACUUGUCCAUCCCCCUUCCGGCCGACGCCGACGCUGAAGCACUGGAGGCUCGCCGCCUCGCCCUCCUCGCGGAAGGCCGGAAAUUGGUUUCCAUGAGACACCUCACUAAGGCCCACCGACACGAGGCCGACCGCGCCGCCUUUGGCACGCCGCCCCCAGGCGGGCCCAGCCGGGUCAGCGUUGUCAGAUAGCGCGGCACUGUCAUUGCCGACACGUUAGGAGUCGAUCGCCCAGUCUACGCCACUCCACUCAAGAACCUGCGCGCCGCCCAGGCGGCCGUAGACGAGCUAGACGGACUGGGGGCCGAAGAACUCCCCCACAUGACCCGACGCAUCCAGCAGCUAAUCGAUGCAGCCGCACGGCGGCACGAAGCCAACGCCCGCGCGGGAAGCCCUCCCCCGCGCCGAGAUCACGACGCGACAUCCCGGACGCCGACUGCGGGCAGAGAGCGCGCGCGGCGCGAGAAAGAGCCAGCUGCCAGCCGAAGCCAAACCCGGAUCUCCAUCGAGCGAGACGCGGACGGCCAUCCCCGAGCCAUGGAAUGGCGGGGUAACCCGCCUCCGCCUCGACCCCGUGGAGAGAGAUAUCCCACCCUGCCGCCAGUGGCGCACCCGACUCUCAGCGGCCGACUAGGUCGCCGCGAAGGAGUCGGCGAGAAUGACGCCCGCCGUCGGAUCGACUGCCUGGCGCGAUCCCUGGCGCUGGAAGAAGAAGACGAUGUCGGCCCGCCUUGUUUCGGCCCCCGCAUCCGCGAUGAGCCUUUCCCCAAAGGAUUCUCGCUCCCAAGAGACACGCCCAAGUACAAUGGCUCCGUGAAGCCGGAAGAUUGGUUGAUCGACUACUCCACGGCGGUCAGCAUAGCCAACGGCAACCGGCGCGUUGCCAUGAAGUGCGUGCCCCUCAUGCUGCAAGGCACGGCGCGGACCUGGCUCAACAGCCUCAAACCACGCAGCAUCAACAGUUGGCUAGACUUCACAGAAGCCUUCGUCCGCAACUUCACCACCACCUACAAGCGGGCUCCCAAGCCCAGACAGCUCUCCUUGUGCGUAUAAGGCCCCGCCGAGUCAACUCACGACUACCUCACGCGUUGGGCCGAGCUCCGCAACUCUUGCGAAGGGGUGCACGAGGUGCAAGCCAUAGAAUACUUCACAGCCGGGUGCCGAGAAGGCACCCUCCUCAAGCACAAGCUUCUCUGCGACGAGCCGACUACCCUCGACGAGCUUCUGGACAUAGCGGACAAGUACGCCACCAUCGACUCCUCAAUGAAGACCGAGCUCCGGGUAGACGCGUCCGAAAAAGUACUCAACACGCGCCCAAGACGCCGGCUGGGGAUUCCGGCCGACGCCCACACUCGAACGACCACAAGCGCAAGGGCCCCGCACUGCCUCCCGCCAGUCGGCAGGUGGCCACAGUUGAAGACGUGCCGCCCGAAGGGCGGCCCGCGCCCAAGAAACCCAAGGGCGGCAGGCCGGCUUGGCAGCCGGCCUUCUCCUACGAGCAAACUCUCGACGCCCCGUGCAAGUUCCACAGCGGCGCGAAGCCGUCCAACCACACAACCCGGAAGUGCCAUUGGCUCACCCGAAUCUCCAAAGGCGAAGGGCUCGCGCCGCCUCCGGUUCCGCCGGCGCCGGCCGCUCGGCCCACAGUCGGAGCCGUGCAUGAUGAGUUCCCCGAUGAGCAUGCCGCCUAUAUCAUCUUUACAAGCCAGUCCGAAGACUGGCACAGCAAACGCCGAGAGAACCAGGAAGUCAGCAUGGUUGCUGCCAACCCCGCCGAGCACAUGCACUGGUCAGAAAAGCCUAUCAGCUGGAGCCGGGCCGACCAUCCAGAGGUGAUGCCGUCUCCCGGCUCUUAUGCGUUGGUCCUGGAAGCCACCCUCGCGACGGACAGACGCGCUGCCCGCUUCUCCCGCGUGCUGAUAGACGGCGGGAGCAGCAUCAGCAUCCUGUACCGUGACACCCUGGAGAAGCUAAAUGUCAAGACGAAGCAGCUCAUGCCUACUCGGACAGUGUUCCAUGGCAUCGUACCCGGCCUGUCCUGCGCCCACAUUGGCAAGAUCAAGAUUGAUGUACUUUUUGGGGACAAGGAGCAUUUCCGCCGGGAAGCGAUCUGGUUUGAAGUGGUGGACCUGGAGAGCCCUUACCAUGCAUUGCUUGGCCGACCUGCCUUGGCCAAAUUCAUGGCAGUCCCCCACUAUGCAUACCUCAAGAUGAAGAUACCAAGCACCAAAGGCGUCAUCACCAUAGCCGGCGAUUACAAGAAGUCCUCUGAGUGCGCAGCAGCCAGCAGCCGGCUGGUCGAGUCCCUCGUGAUUGCCGAAGAAAAGAAGAUGUUGGACCGAGUCGUGGCCAUAGCCGGCAAGCAAUCGGCCAUGUCCCCCGAUCCCAAGGAGCAUGAUGCUCAAGGAUCUUUCCAGCCGGCCAAGGAGACGAAGAAGAUACCUCUUGACCCCGAGCACCCAGAGAGGUUUGCCGUCAUCGGGGCAAACCUGAACAGCAAAUAGGAAGGCGAGCUCGCCGAUUUCCUCCGUGAGAAUCGGGACAUCUUUGCAUGGUCCCCCAAGGACAUGCCGGGUGUUUCAAAGGAAUUCUCCGAGCACAAACUACACGUCCGAAAAGAUGCGAAACCAGUCAAACAGCCCCUCCGCCGACUAUCAGAGGAAAAGAGAAGGAUUGUAGGGGAGGAGAUAGCCCGGCUUCUGGCAGCCGGCUUCAUUAUGGAAGUCUUCUUUCCAGAGUGGCUUGCCAACCCGGUCCUCGUGUUAAAGAAGAACAACAAGUGGCGCAUGUGUAUAGACUACACAAGCCUCAACAAGGCCUGCCCUAAAGAUCCCUUUGCCCUGCCGAGGAUUGACCAAGUGAUAGACUCCACGGCCGGAUGCGAGCUGUUGAGUUUCUUGGAUGCUUACUCAGGAUAUCACCAGAUAAAGCUAGAUCCGGACGACCGCCUGAAGACCGCCUUCAUCACGCCAUUUGGAGCCUUCUACUACCUGACUAUGACAUUCGGCUUAAGAAAUGUUGGUGCCACUUUUCAGUGUUGCAUGCAGAAGUGCCUCCUCAAGCAACUCGGCAGAAACGCUCACGUCUACGUGGACGACAUUGUGGUGAAGACGGAGAAGCACGGCGCCUUGCUGGAAGACCUCAAAGAAACGUUUGAGAACCUACGCCGGUUCCAAAUCAAGAUCAACCUCGAGAAAUGCGUGUUGGGAGUGCCAGCCGGCCAGCUCCUAGGCUUCCUGGUCUCCGAACACGGCAUCGAAUGCAACCCGGUGAAGAUCAAGGCCAUCGAGAGAAUGGCGAUCCCCACCAAGCUUCGAGACAUCCAAAAGUUCAUCGGAUGCUUGGCCUCCUUGAACCGCUUCAUCAGCCGACUCGGAGAGAAAGCUCUCCCCCUCUACCGCCUCAUGAAGAAGAGCACUCACUUCGAGUGGAAUGACCAGGCCGACCAAGAUUUUCACAAGCUGAAGAAGAUGCUGGCCACGCCGCCCUUCCUAGCGGCGCCGACUGAGAAAGAGCCCAUGCUCCUUUACAUUGCCGCAACCAGCCGGGUGGUCAGCACCGUCAUCAUAGUCCAACGCCCAGAAGAAGGCCGAGCCCAGCCGGUCCAGAGGCCGGUGUAUUAUUUGAGCGAGGUGCUGUCCGCUUCAAAGCAGAACUACCCGCACUACCAGAAGAUGUGUUACGGCGUGUACUUCACCGCCAAGAAGCUGAAGCCCUACUUUCAAGAGCAUCCCGUCACGGUCGUAUGCACUGCCCCGCUGGCCAAGAUCAUAGGCAGCCGGGAUGCAUCCGACCGGGUGGCGAAAUGGGCCAUCGAGCUGGCCCCUUACACAAACUUCUACCAGCCCCGCACCGCCAUCAAGUCCCAAGCACUGGCCGACUUCCUCGUCGAUUGGGCCGAGACCCAGUACCUGCCGCCGGCUCCCGACUCCACCCAUUGGCGCAUGCACUUUGACGGGUCCAAGAUGCGCACCGGCUUGGGAGCCGGCGUCGUCCUUACCUCUCCCAAAGGCGACAAGCUCAGAUACACGAUGCAGAUUCACUUUGCCGCCUCCAACAAUGUAGCCGAGUAUGAGGCACUCAUACACGGGCUCCGGCUUGCCAAGGAACUCGGCAUCCGCCGGAUCCUAUGUUAUGGCGACUCAGACUUGGUGGUUCAGCAAUCAUCCGGCGACUGGGACGCCAAGGACGCAAAUAUGGCAAGCUACCGCUUCCUGGUUCAACAACUCAGCGGAUACUUUGAAGCAUGCGAGUUCCUCCACGUACCGCGAGCCGACAACGAGCCAGCCGAUGCCCUGGCUCGAAUAGGCUCCACUCAGCAAGCAAUACCAACCGGCGUCGCUCUACAACGCCUCCUCAAGCCGUCCAUCAAGCCGUCUCCAGAGUCCGAUUCCAUCUUCGUACCGCCUGACCCCGACGCGGCCGGGUCCGGCUCGAAGAACCAAGCAGGCGACCCCGGGACUUCAGUAGUCGGCCCGGGGACUUCGGCAACCGGCUCGGGGACUGCCACACCCGGCUCGGGGACUGUAGUAGCCGGCCCGGGGACUGCACCAACACAACAGCCGGCGGCUGACUCCAGCAUUUCACCACCCAGCCCGCCCACCCUGGUGGCAGUAGCCACAUUGGCAGUAGGAGAAGUCGCGGCUCCGUCAUGGGCUCAGUCCAUCCUCAACUUCCUAGUAAACCAAGAUCUGCCGACUGAUGAAACAGAGGCAAGACAAGUCCAACGUAGAGCCGGAGCAUACACAAUCGUCAACAGAGAACUCGUCAAGCGCAGUGUCACUGGAGUCCUCCAACGGUGCGUCCAGCAAGAGAAAGGCAUUGCAAUCCUCAGAGACAUUCACCAAGGAGAAUGCGGCCACCAUGCGGCUUCAAGAUCACUCGUCGCCAAAGCUUUCCGCCAUGGUUUCUUCUAGCCGACUGCUUUGGAUGACGCUAAAGAAUUAGUUAAAUAUUGCAAAGGGUGCCAACUCUUCAGCUCCAAGCAACACAUGCCGGCUUCGACACUCAAGACCAUUCCCCUCACCUGGCCCUUCGCCAUUUGGGGACUAGACAUGGUGGGCCCAUUCAAGACGGCGCGCGGCGGCAUGACGCAUUUGCUCGUCGCCGUGGACAAAUUCACCAAGUGGAUUGAGGCAAAGCCGAUCAAGAAGCUGAAUGGACCGACUGCUGUGACAUUCAUCGCAGACAUAACAACUCGGUACGGCGUGCCACACAGCAUCAUCACCGACAAUGGCACGAAUUUUGCCAAAGGAGCCUUGGCACGUUUCUGCGCAACACAAGGUAUCCGUUGGACUUAGCGUCCGUCGCCCACCCGCAGUCAAACGGCCAGGUCGAGCGAGCCAACGGCCUCAUCCUCUCCGGCAUCAAGCCCCGACUGGUCGUACCACUGGAGCGUUCAGCCGGCUGUUGGCUCGAUGAGCUGCCGGCUGUCCUCUGGAGUCUGCGCACUACCCCAAACAAGUCAACCGGCUUCACCCCUUUCUUCCUCAUGUGUGGUGCCGAGGUGGUCAUCCCAACUGACAUCGAGUUCGACUCGCCCCGGGUAACCAUGUACACAGAGGCGGAGGCCAAGGAAGCACGAGAAGACGGUGUCGACCUGUUGGAAGAAGGCCGGCUGUUAGCCCUCAGCCGGUCUGCCAUCUACCAGCAGGGUUUGCGCCGCUACCACAGUCAGAAGGUCAGGCCAAGAUCUUUCCAAGAGGGCGAUCUUGUGCUCCGGCUGAUCCAGCAAACAGCCAGCCAACACAAGCUCUCGGCCCCUUGGGAGGGCCCCUUCGUCAUCAGCAGAGCUUUAGGCAACGACUCCUACUACCUGAUCGACGCGCAGAAGCCGAAGGCACACAAGAGAGACGACUCCGGCAAGGAGUCGGAACGACCAUGGAAUGCCAACCUCCUUCGAAGAUUUUACAGUUGAAAUGCAGUAUGUAUCACGCUAACUUUUGUACUAAAUACGAGACAAUAGGCCCCCCUAGGAGGGCUCGGGGACUGCCAUCUUUUAUCUAUGAAUGAAAAGUAUCAUGCUUAUGACCUUGUCAUUUCAUUUACUUGUUCCGUCCGGCACCGGGUUCGACUAGUCAGCCUGGGGACUGGCCGACUGGAGUUAUAUUAGAAGUCCUACCCGCGGUCAGACAAGUAGUGUGCCGACACCCAGGCUUAGCUCUUGCCAAAGUCGCAGUUCGAAGAACCGGCUGUCCGGCUGGCAAGAGUCAAAAGUAGGAAAGGAUGCCCACACGAAAAAUGGCCAGGGACCAACGGACUAAUAUAACGGAAGCCGGUUUGCCGCCUACCACCGAUCGACUACCAGAGUAGCCGGCCGGCCAGUUUCCAUUCACUUCACUUCAAUCCAAGAAAGCUCGAGUACUUGCCUCCCCAAAGAGGGAAGGCAGCAAAGGAAAAAGCCUAAGGAUAAAAAGCAUAUGCGAAUGGAAACCAAAUAUGCACAUAAUGAUAUUUACAUAAAAGACCUCCAAGAGGCCAGCAUUCAACAUAGUUUGGAUACACCCCCAGUGGGUGGAACUGCGAAAGCUUAAUAAAGAUUGUUCAAAAGGCAACAAGCAGGAAAAAUAAGGACGGCGGGUCAAGCUGGCGGAGCGACCGAUGAGCCGGGCUGGUCGGCGGAGACGGUUGUGCCGGCUGAAGGAGUGGCCGGCUGGCGAACCUCGGCUUGAUCACCACCUCCCGCAGAGGGCGUGCUUCCACGCACCUUGUUGCUGGAGGCACGGUCAGCCUGAGGCCGGCCGGUUGUUCCACUAGCCGGCUCGACGUCUUCACCGUCCUCUUCUUCGUCAUCCUCGCCCUUGUCGCUGGAGGCGAUCUCCUCUGCCGAGUCCUCGCCCACCGCCGGGUUCAGCCCGAACCACUCCUCCGGCUGGGCAACGCCGUCAUCAUUGAUUUCAGGUGCAAAAACACUGAAGUCGGUGCACUCGGCGAUCGUCGAAGCACGCUGGGCGAUAGCCGGCCGCACCUCCUCCAGCUCCGCGUCGGCCUCCAGCCGCCAAGUGCGCAGUUGGUCCAGGUUCAUCCCUGGGUACCAAGCUCGAACGAACUCCAAUGCCCGCCCGGCUCCAAGACGGGCCGCCGAUGCCUUCCAAGCUUCAAAGCGACCGACCGCGACCUCCAGCCAGUCGGCAGUCCGGCUUGGGGUGCGGGGGAUCGUCUCGCCGGGUCAGAGGGCGGCCAACACCUGCGCCCCGGCACGUUGGAGCCGGCGAAGCAUCCGGUUAGCCGGCUGCAGCCGCGCUUGGACAGCCAAGAGCUGCUCCUCAAGCGUCUGAUUCGCGUCCGGCACGAUGUUGACCCCCGCCUGACGGCGCGCCUCGCGAUGGGCCUCGAUGGUUUGGGCGGCGAAGGCGGAGUAGCCGGGAAAGUAGUCUGCACAAGAAAAUAGGCAGCAGCACAAGUCAGGCCAAAAACCAGGCGGCAAGGGGCAGGAGAGGAGCGAGGAAGGUGGCUUACCAUCGAUCAAGUCCUCGAUGCGGCCGAAGCCUUCAUCCAGCGCUCGCCGGGUCUCAGCCCAGCUCGCCGCCUCGGUCUCAAACUCUGCCUUCAGGGCGGCCUCGCUAUCCUACGCUUUCUGCAGGGCCGCCUUGUGGCUCUCCUCCUGGUCAGCCAACUUCUUGGCCAGGCGGUCAUGCUCCUGGACCAAGGCAGCGUACUCAGCAUCCUUGGUACGAAGGGCGGCCUGUGCUUCGCCGAGCUCCCUCCUCAAGUCGGCGUUGGCCCCUGAAAGCACGAAAGACGAAAGAAAAAACCAAUAAGGAAAAAGUCGUCAAGGAAGAUCCGACCCGACUGCUCAGCAGUCGGCCCGAAUCUCGGGGACUACACCCAGUGGGUGCGCUGAUGCGCCCCCACAGGAGAUAGACAAGAUCAAGCACUUACUUCGGCUGUUGGCCAGGUCGUCGGUCUUCCGACCCAACUCCUGAGCCUGGGAGUUGAAAGCGGCAGCACGGGAGUUAUGAUAUUCCUGGAAGUUCAGACCGGAAGCAAAAAUAAGGUAGUCAUCAAGAAAGAUCCGACCCGACUACUCAGCAGUCGGCCCGAAUCUCGGGGACUACACCCAGUGGGUGCGCUGACGCGCCCCCACGGAAGAAAUCAAGAGACCAAAGCGGCCAAGAAUGAAAGACUCACCUGGAUGGCGGCCUGCGUCGACAGGAACUCCUGGGUGUACUGCUGCAGCAGGGCGGCCUGAGCUUGAAGCCGGCUCUUCAGGGUAGGAAGCUGACCUAGCUUCUCGUCCCUUUGUCCACCUCAAAGCUCGAUCAGCUUCGGGGACUACUGUCGGAGUAAAUAGCCAUGGGUAGCCUAGCCGGCUUCCCUUGGCCCUUCUGAAAAAAUUACGAGCCCGUCCGGCUCUCGAGAAUCCAAGACAUGGGGCCGCCUUCCCCUCGCUGGCUGUCACCCAGGCCGGCUUUCGGAAGGCGGCCCGACUUUAGCCCUCAUGAAGAAAGCCAUGGGAGGGCCGACUUCGAGAAACCGGCCGCGAGGAGGCCGACUCCGAGAAGCCGGCUCCCAUAAAGCGGUCGAGACCGUAUCCUCAAAGUUUGCAUCCACCUAGCGGCGAUGAGACGGGGCGUGGCUACAGUAAAGCCUACCACCCCCGAAUCCCGGAGCACGCCUGGCACAGUGCACCGUACGGAGUGGGCAUGACCCGUCCGGCGCGGCACUGUUGCCAUGUUGACCCUGAUGUCACCCACGACGGGCCGCCAGCGCGGCCCAGAGCGGUGGGCCCCUUCGGGCAGAGAGACGCCCGAAGGCGGCCAGGCCUCCCCCAGUCGGCCCGAGACGGGGCCGGCUCCCCGCAGCCGGCUCGCUUCCCCCUCGAAGGAGACGCCCCAUUAAGGAGACAAGACGCGGUAAGGCUACAGCGAUCGCCCGCCGGACGGCGGCACUGUAUCCACGCUUACCUCGACGAAGCCCUCGUCAUCAGGUUGAGGCAACAGUAACCGGCCACCGACAAGACCCUUGGCAGUGGGGCCUGCCUGUUGCCAAGGAGUUGGCAGCCGGCGGGACCCACCAGCCGGCGGGCCCCAGCAGUCGGCGCAGAAGCCGGCGAGCGUAGUCACAGACGGCUGGGCCCCGCGCCCAGUCGGAUUACCAUUGUACCCCUGGGGGGUAGGACUAUAUAAACCCCCCGGGACACCCAUGCAAAGGGUUGGACCCCCAGCUAGUUUUAGACACCACACAAGGAGAAGAAGCAAGCUAGCCGUGCCCUUCUUCCUCCUCCCACCGAACAGCUCAAGGAGCAUUGUGUAGCUACUUGUCCAUCUACCGAUCAUGCGGAGACCCCGCAAAGCGGCAGUAGGGGUGUUAUCUCCACGGAGAGCCCCGAAGCUGGGUAAGAUUCGCCGGCGUGCAUGUCUUCGCCUCAUCCCGUUUCCAGGCACCGGCGACGUCUUACUGGCUCCCACAAUGAUAAGCCACCCGUUGGCAUAUGUCGCACCUACCACCCGACACUCGCAAUGUGCGGCCUUCUCGGCUUUCAACUCUUCGGCCGCCUUCAAAGCAGCCGCAUUACUAAUCCUCGCUUGUUCCUUGGCUCGGGCAAGUUCUGCCCGCAAGGUUUCCACGGUGGCAGCUCCAUCUGCAGUCACAACAUAUUAAAGAUACUGGCAUCAUGAUGCUCUUACUAUGUGGCAUUCACCAGAUAAUAACACUUACCCUGUGCCUCGUCAAGCCUCUUGUUAACAAGCUCGAUGUCGGCGUCUGCCGCAUCCAGUUGUCGUUUUAAUUUGGCAAACUCACUAGUCCGGCUAGCCACUGGAGCUUCCACCACCUGCACAUAGAGGCAGUCUGGUUAUUGCCUGGGACUAUGAUCCUCUGUUCGUCGCCGUUCUCGACGACAACCAGAGUCUCAGGGGCUACUAUCUACACAGGGCACACCUAACAUGUGCAGUACUAUCACAUAUUAUCUCACGUACCUCAAAGCCUGUCAGUAGACUCAUAAAGGCUUCAUGUAAUCCGCUUUCGGCGGACGAAAUUCUCUCCAUCACGGUACCCAUCAGCGUACGGUGUUCUUCUGAGAUGGCCGCUCGCCCCACCAGCUCCCUCAGAAUGUCCGACCGCAUACCAGACGGUGUCGGACUCUUUUGUUUGCUCUCUUCGGGAGCCGGACACUGGGGACUUUGGGGGUCUAUGGGAUUAUCUUCUGGCCUCACCGGAUCCGGAGAGGCCCUCCGUGACGACACUUCGGGGUCGCCCGCUUCUUGAAGGGAGGAGUCCGGGGGAGGCGUUUCGCUCUCCAUCAUCUCUGGAAGAAGAUCCCCCGAAGACGAGCUCAGCUGAGAGGGGCUAAGGCCCGAACUGCAAGAUAUAUGCGGUGGUUAUUUUCUCAGAAAAAAGAUAGCAUACCUCUACUAUUAAAGUAUUUNNNNNNNNNNNNNNNNNNNNNNNNNNNNNNNNNNNNNNNNNNNNNNNNNNNNNNNNNNNNNNNNNNNNNNNNNNNNNNNNNNNNNNNNNNNNNNNNNNNNNNNNNNNNNNNNNNNNNNNNNNNNNNNNNNNNNNNNNNNNNNNNNNNNNNNNNNNNNNNNNNNNNNNNNNNNNNNNNNNNNNNNNNNNNNNNNNNNNNNNNNNNNNNNNNNNNNNNNNNNNNNNNNNNNNNNNNNNNNNNNNNNNNNNNNNNNNNNNNNNNNNNNNNNNNNNNNNNNNNNNNNNNNNNNNNNNNNNNNNNNNNNNNNNNNUGGAACUGGCAGCGAUUGGGGCUCGCGUCCGCCCGUAUUAUCCGCCCCCCCCCCCAACGUAUCUUCCUUCGAGGGCUCCGGGCAAGGUGCGACCUCGAGCAUCUUUUCCAAUACCGGAUUUUCCAAACCCUCGGGGAGGGGGGCCAAACACCGAAUCAUCUUCGCCUUUGUUAGCCAGUCCUGGUCAAAAGCGAACUCUUAGAAAUAACUUCAUAAAAGACAAUGUGUUCGGCCAGAGGAUUUCUUACUUGUUCGGCGGUGCGGUUACUGCUCAGGCCCACGUCCUCGGUAAUAUCCGGGCACUCUACUUGAGGUCCGAAGAAUGACUUGUACAUCUCCUCAUGCGUCAGGCCGAGGAAACUUUGAAUGGCACGCGGUCCCUCUGGGUUGAGCUCCCACAAGCGAAGGGGCCGGCGUUUGCAAGGCUGGACUUGACGAACCAGCAUAACUUGUAUUACCACAACCAAAUUAAAAUCUCCCUCGAAGAGAUCUCGAAUGCGGCUUUGCAGUAUAGGCACGUCCUUGGAUGGACCCCAGCUUAGACCCCUGCUAAUCCAUGACAUCAGUUGUGGUGGGGGGCCUGAGCGGAAAGUGGGGGCAACCGCCCACUUGGCACUUCUGGGAGCCGUGACGUAAAACCACUCUCGUUGCCAUAAUUCGGACACCUUUGGAAAGGAAUCUUUCGGCCAUGGAGCUCCUGCCAUCUUGCCUAUUGAUGCACCUCCGCAUGAUGCAUGUUGCCCCUCGAUCAUUGAGGGAGUCCUGGAUCAGGGGGUGUCCGGAUGGCCGGACUAUACCUUCAGUCGGACUCCUGGACUAUGAAGAUACAAGAUUGGAGACUUCGUCCCGUGUCCGGAAGGGACUUUCCUUGGCGUGGAAGGCAAGCUUGGUGAUACGGAUAUGCAGAUCUCCUACCAUUGUAACCGAGUUUAUGUAACCCUAACCCUCUCCGGUGUCUAUAUAAACAGGAGGGUUUUAGUCCGUAGGACGACAUACCCAACAACAAUCAUACCAUAGGCUAGCUUCUAUGGUUUAGCCUCUCCGAUCUCGUGGUAGAUCUACUCUUGUACUACCCAUUUCAUCAAUAUCAAUCAAGCAGGACGUAGGGUUUUACCUCCAUCGAGAGGGCUCGAACCUGGGUAAAACUUCGUGUCCCUUGCCUCCUGUUACCAUCCGGCCUAGACGCACAGUUCGGGACCCCCUACCCGAGAUCCGCCGGUUUUGACACCGACAUUGGUGCUUUCAUUGAGAGUUCCUCUGUAUCGUCGCCGUCAGGCUUGAUGGCUCCUAGGAUCAUCGAUAGUGAUGCGGUCCAGGGUGAAACUUGUCUCCCGGGACAGAUCUCUAUCUUCGGCGGCUUUGCACUGCGGGCCAAUUCACUUGGCCAUCUGGAGCAGAUCGAAAGCUAUGCCCCUGGCCGUCAGGUCAGAUUUGGAAGUUUAAACUGCACGGCUGACAUCCGCGGGGACUUGAUCUUCAACGGAUUCGAGCCACUGCCGAGCGUGCCGCACUGCCACGACGAGCAUGAUCUAGCUCUGCCGCCUAACAGUGCCCUGAAGGCCGCACAUGCAUCGGCUUCGACCCUUAAUUCGGAGCCAACUGCGCCGAUCGAGGAUGGGUGGAUGGAUGCCGCCUCGGGGGCUGUGAUCCUAGCGGCGAUCGAGCUGAACACCAGCCCCGCACUCCGCGAGACUCGUGAUUCCAAGGAGCCGAACUCCUUUCCGGACUACGAACCGUUCGCGCCUCUGCUGAUCGAAUCCGAUUGGGCGCCGAUCAUGGAGUUUACUGCCGCGGACAUCUUUCAGCACUCACCCUUUGGCGAUAUUAUGAAAUCACUAAAGUCUCUCUCUUUAUCAGGAGAGCCCUGGCCAGACUACGGUCAGCGAGAUUGGGAUACGGACGAUGAAGAAAUUCAAAGCCCACCCACCACCCACUUUGUAGCCACUGUCGACGAUUUAACCGACAUGCUCGACUUCGACUCCGAAGACAUCGACGGUAUGGACGCCGAUGAAGGAGACGAUGAAGAACCAGCGCCUAUUGGGACCUAGAACACCACCUCGUCAUAUGACGUAUACAUGGUGGACGCACCAAAAGAUGACGACGAGGAGCGGAAGGACGCACCGAAGGCUUGUUCCCUCGAAAAGCAGUCAAAGCGGCGACGCAAGACCCAACGCUGGAGCAGGGCAAACCGCUACCGGACAACGGCAAUCCGGAUAAUCAAACCGAACAAACAAAUCCUAUCAAGGAUAAUGGUCCGGACGACAUAACGCCAGACAGGCACCCGGAGCAGCAGACUGCCCGUAAAAGGCUUGUUGCCACCGCGAGGAGUCUGAAAAAGCAGAAGCAAAGGCUCAAGGCCGCGCAAGACACACUCCAAAUCAGAUGGAGUAAAAUACCCAACACAGCAGCAAGGUACGGCGACAAUCGCCCCUCCAAGAGCUACCCAAAGCAGAAGCUGCUACCGGAAUUCGAUGAGGAGGCCUCAGACCCCCCACAACCAAAUAUCAAAGCAGCCACCUGGUCGGAUAGACGACCCCUCUACCAACACAGAGCGGCAUACAACGCCGCUCACAAUACAACACGCGACCCAUGCGAGGGCUCGCACCCAAAGGACGGUGCAACAAGAUCCAUCUAUGGACCACGCAAGCGCGCCCCAGCAUACAAUGCAACACAACAAACAUCCGAACAACGUGGUACACCCAGCUACAGGUGUGCCGCACACCCCCUAUGUUUCACCGAUGAGGUGCUGGACCAUGAAUUUCUAGAGGGAUUCAAGCCCGUAAACAUAGAGGCAUACGACGGAACAACAGACCCUGGGGUCUGGAUUGAGGACUACAUCCUCCAUAUCCAUAUGGCUCGAGGAGAUGAUCUCCACUCCAUCAAGUACUUACCCCUCAAGCUCAAAGGGCCAGCUCGUCACUGGCUCAAAGGCCUCCCCGAAAGCUCCAUUGGAAGUUGGGAAGAGCUCGAAGACGCCUUUCGUGCAAAUUUUCAAGGGACUUAUGUCCGACCUCCGGAUGUGGACGAUUUGAGUCAUAUAACUCAACAGCCCGGAGAGUCAGCCCGAAAACUUUGGAACAGGUUUCUUACUAAAAAGAACCAGAUUGUCGACUGUCCGGACGCCGAAGCCUUGGCAGCUUUCAAGCAUAGCGUCCGUGACGAAUGGCUCGCCAGACACCUCGGCCAAAAUAAGCCGAGAACGAUGGCCGCAUUAACAAACCUCAUGACCCGCUUUUGCGCGGGUGAGGACAGCUGGCUAGCCAGAUGCAGCACCAGCGACCCCAGUACAUCUGAAGUUAGAGAUGGAAACGGGAAAUCACGACGCAAUAGCAAUAACAAACGCCGGAAUAAAGAAGACAACAUGAAGGGCAUGACAGUAAAUGCUGGAUUCAAAAGCUCUCGGCCAGGUCAAAAGCCCCCCCCUAAAGGCACCAGGGAUGAACUGUCCAGCCUCAACAAAAUUCUGGACCAAGUAUGUCAGAUCCAUAGUACCCCUGGUAAACCUGCUAAUCAUACCCACAGAGAAUGUUGGGUCUUCAAGCAGUGCGGCAAGCUCAACGCCGUACAUAAGGGGGAGGAUACACCAAGUGAAGACGAAGACGGGCCUCCCAAGCAAGACACGGCGGAACAAAAGAAAUUCCCACCAGAAGUCAAAACAGUAAACGUGUUACACGUGAUCAAGGGAAAAAACAACACGGCACUCCCAGGAAAAUAUACCCAAGUGCCUGUCACAGCGAAGCCCUGCCACUGGUCGUCUCAACCGAUCACUGUCGACCAUCGUGAUUACUCAGCAAGUAUCCGACACGUGGGAUGGGCUGCCCUGGUAUUAGACCCAGUAAUUGGCGGAUAUCACUUCACACAAGCCUUGAUGGACGGCGGCAGUAGCCUAAACUUAAUAUAUCAGGAUACAAUCCGCGGGAUAGGGUUAGACCCAACACAAAUUCGCCAUAGCAAUACUACCUAUAAAGGAGUAAUGCCAGGCCCAGAGGCUCAUUGUACGGGCUCCCUCCUACUACAGGUUAUAUUCGGCUCCCCCGAUAACUUCCGUCGCGAGCAUUUAACCUUCCACAUCACUCUAUUUCAAAGUGGCUAUCAAGCACUGCUCGGACGCGAAGCUUUCGCUCGCUUUAAUGCAAUACCACACUACGCCUCCCUCACACUCAAGAUGCCCGGUCCACGUGGCAUCAUUUCAGUGAACGGAAAUAUCAAGCGAUCUCUGCGCGCCGAAGAGAGUGCGGCUGCCUUGGCAGCCGCACACUAAAGGCGCCCGGACCAGUGAAAGCAUCCAAAUAGGUCGUCAAGACCUCAGACACAACUAAUCAAGUCCGACGCCGCUAUUUAUACCGAAUAAGUGGUCACACCCUUAUUUGUCAAUAGAAGGGGCUCAAUGCGUGCAGACAAGUGGCAAUUUCUUAUCAUCUUGAAUUAUACAUGGUUUCUUUAAAAACUAUCUUUUUGCACGACAACUCUUUCACUUAACUUCCUCUCUUUUACAGACGAUCAUCGUGCUACACCCGUCCAGGAUACAGCACAACAGAGACACAGGCGCAGACAUGCAGCAGGGACCCGCUCCAAGGAUUCUUUUUAGAUUAAGACCCUGCGUAAACCUUUUUUACUGUCUCUUGUUGAUACAUAUCCACCAUUGAGAAGGAUGCUGACGUCUUGGCAUGUGGCCACGCCAGAACAAUGCACGUACCUGGACACAAGGGGCUUCUUACAAAGGCCAUUAUUUAGGCCCGGUUUAUACCACAAAGACCGAAUACCUUAGGGAGUGUUCGGCGUCGCGAGUUUGGCCCUAUAUGCAUCAACUCCGAAUCAUUGUCUUUGGUCAAAUGUUGGGUUUGCCCAGCUCCUGUGUUUUGGUGCCUUACGUUCUGCUUUACCGGCUAAGGUAGCACCAGGAGAACUACUGUGAUUGUGCCCUGGUUCAUCCGGACGAGCACCUCAGUAGAGAAAGCUAAAAACUGACUGUCAUGAUAUAGCAUGAGACUGGUCAACCACUUGAUGACCAGUGGGAAUGUUAGAAUUCCUCUGCCUUAACGAAGGGCCGUUUUCCGGCCAGGCAUGUACGCACCCCGGAAUCGGGAGAGUGCGGAGCCACCAGGGGCUAUCUAGUAGCCCCACUGUCAAACUCCUAUGGCUAAGUGAAAGUGCUAAAGCAUUAUAGUCCGGUUGCCUCGCUCGCUCCGCUAUCACCUCCUUAAUAGGACCAAGACAUUGGGUUAAGUGUGAAUGCACGUUUUUGUGAGCACCUCCGCAUUAUAUGCGUGGGGGUUGAAGCCGACGACUGCAAUCUUUCAGGUUAUGCUCAUGUAUACAUAAACGGCCACCCAGGAGGCAUCAUAUUACUUUCAGGCAAAAGUAUAAAAAUAGCCUUAUAAAAAUUUAUAAAAGCAUUUCUCUUACAAAGAGAUUACAUAUCACUCAAACAUAAUAUUUUUUGAGCACUGGGUCUCUAUCAAACGGGCACCCUCAAGAACUUCUUCAAAGUAGUGCUCAGCAGCCUUUCGACCUAUGGCCGAAUCCCGCGCUUCAACAUUGGUAGCAUCCAUCUCCGCCCAGUAUGCCUUAACACGGGCAAAGGCCAUCCGUGCGCCCUCUAUGCAUGCCGACCUAUUCAUCACAUUAAUGCGCGGCACCAUGUCAAGGAACUGCUGCACCAAGCUGAAAUAGUUGUUCGGUUUUGACCUUUCCGGCCAUAGCUGAUCCACAACAGACCUCAUGGAGAGUCCGGACAACCUAUUUAGUUCGGCUCAUUCGUCUAAUUGGUCAGUCAAUGAAAGCGGACGCUCGGGAGAAUGGAAUUGUCUCCAAAACAGCUGGUCUACUUCACGGUCCGUCUGACCCUGGAAGUACUUGGCCGCAUCGACAACGCUCGCCGCCAAAUCCAUAUACACAUCCUCCAAACUCCACAGCCGAUCCAGAGGGGCAUACCAUGGAUCUCCGAACUUCCUCCGCAACAUAAAGGAUUUCCCAGCUACAAUAUCCCCGACUUCGCACAACUCCUCCUUCUUUGCCCUCAUAGCAGAGCGGAGGUCUUUUCUCAUCGCAGCAGCCUUCUCAAGGUCCGAUGCCUUCGCUUGGUUUUCCUUUUCAAGAACCCGGCAACGGUCGGUGGCGGCUUUUAAUUCUAUGGCCAUCUUGGCCAUCUUGUCUCGGCUCUCGCCAUGCGCGGCCUUCUCGGCUUGCAACUCUUCGGCCGCCUUCAAAGCAGCCGCAUUACCCAACCUCGCUUGUUCCUUAGCUCGGGCAAGUUCUGCCCGCAAGGCUUCAACAGUAGCAGCUCCAUCUGCAGUCACAACAUAUUAAAGAUACUGGCAUCAUGCUGCUCUUCCUAUUUUGGCGUUUACCAGAUAAUGACACUUACCCUGUGCCUCGUCAAGACUUUUGUUAACAAGCUCGAUGUCAGCGUCUGCCGCAUCCAACUGCCGUUCUAAAUGGGCAAACUCGCUAGUCCGGCUAGCCACCGGAGCUUCCAUCACCUGCACAUAGAGGCAGUAUGGCUAUUACCUGGGAAUAUGAUCCUCUGCACAUAGAGUCUCAGGGGCUACUAUCUACACAGGGCACACCUAGCAUGUGCAGGACUAUCAUACAUUCUUUUACGUACCUCAAAGCCUGUCAGUAGACUCAUAAAAGCUUCAUGCAAUCCGCUUUCGGCGGAUGAUAUUCUCUCCAUCACCGUAUUCAUCAGCACACAGUGUUCAUCUGAGACGGCCGCUCGCCCCACCAACUCCCUCAGAACAUUCGAUCGCACACUAGACGGUGCCGGACUCUUUUGUCUGCUCUCUUCGGGAGCCGGACACUGGGAGCUUCGGGGGUCAAUGGGAUUAUCUUCCGGCCUCACCGGACUCAGAGAGGCCCUCCGCGACGACACUUCAGGGUCGCCCGCUUCCGGAGCGGAGGAGUUUGGAGGAGGCGUUUUGCUCUCCAUCAUCUCUAGAAGAAGAUCCCCCGAAGACGAGCUCAUUUGAGAGGGGCUAAGGCCCGAACUGCAAAAAUAUAUGCGGUGGUUAUUCCCUCAGAAGAAAAAGAUGGCAUAUCUGUACUAUUAAAGUAUUUCGGGUCACUUACGACUCGCGGGAGAAUUGAUCCCCCCGCGGACUUUGUGCGGCAACAGCGCCCCCCAAGGUAGGACCCUCUGUGGGAGACUUCUUCUCCCGUUUGGAAGCUUCGGCUUCCGAAUCCCCGGGCAUAGUCCUUUUCCUCUUCUGGUCGUCUUCCUUCAUGGAGACGCUCGCUCCCUCGGUUAGAAUGGGCAGCGUUGGGAGCCCGCGUCCGCUGUAUUAUCCUCCACAGUAUCUUCCUUCAAGGGCUCCGGGCAAGGUGCGGUCUGGAGCAUCUUUUCCAAUACCGGAUUUUCCAAACCCUCGGGGAGGGGGGCCGAACACCGAAUCAACUUUGCCUUUGUUAGCUAGUCCUGGUCAAAAAGCAAACUCUCAUAAAUAACUUCGUAACAAAGGAGAGAUAGUAUGUUCGACCAGAAGAUGUCUUACCUGUUCGGCAGCGCGGUUACUACUCAGGCCCACGUCCUCGGUGAUUUCCGGACACUCCACCUGAGGUCCGAAGAAUGACUUGUACAUCUCCUCAUGCGUCAGGCCGAGAAAAUUUUGAAUGACACGUGGUCCCUCGAGAUUGAACUCCCACAGGCGAAGAGGCCGGCGUUUGCAAGGCUGGACUUGACGAACCAGCAUAACUUGUAUUACCGCAACCAAACUGAAAUCUCCAUUGAAGAGAUCUCGAAUGCGGCUUUGAAGUAUAGGCACGUCCUUGGCUGGACCCCAGCUCAGACCUCUGCUGAUCCAUGACAUCAGUUGUGGUGGAGGGCCCGAGCGGAAAACAGGGGCGGCCACCCACUUGGCACUUCUAGGAGCCGUGAUGUAGAACCACUCAUGUUGCCACAAUUCAGACACCUCUGGGAUGGAACCUUUGGGCCACGGAGCUCCCGUCAUCUUGCGUAUUGAGGCACCUCCACACGCUGCAAGUUGCCCCUCGAUCAUCUUCGGCUUUACUUCAAAGGUUUUGAGCCAUAGGCCAAAGUGAGGGGUAACCCGGAGGAAGGCCUCGCACACGACAAUAAAUGUCGUGAUGUGAAGAAAGGAGUCCGGAGCUAGAUCAUGGAAGUCUAUCCCGUAAUAAAACAUCAAACCCCUGACGAAAGGAUCCAGAGCAAGGCCUAGACCUCGGAGGAAGUGGGAGACGGACACGAUAUUUUCGUUGGGUUCAGGGGUGGGGACGGCCUGCCCUCAGGGAGGCAGCUGAUGCAAAAUCUCGGCGGUUAGAUAUCUGGCCUCCCUCAACUUUUUGAUGUCUUCUUCCGUGACGGAGGAAGGCACCCAUCGGCCUUGAAGGCUAGAUCCGGACAUGACUGAAGGUUCGGAGCACCUGACCUGAACUUCGCGCGUUUGAGCUUGAGGUGGGGGAAGGAUUCGAUUGAGCACGGGAGGGAAAAAUAAAAGCCUUGUCCCCUUUAUAAAGAGGGUGAAUAUCAAGCGUCCUCUCCGUGUCCGUUUGGACUUGCCUAUAAUCUAGGAGUCCUAGAAGCGGUUGGGUUACCCACGCCCGUAUUGAUGAGAAUCCCGGAAUAAGGGGACACGAUCUCUGCUUUAACAAGACGUGCCAAGGAAACCGCCUCACAUGACGCGCCAAGGUGGGAUAAUAAAAUGACUCAGAUAAAGGCUUGGCCGUGGUGUGUCACACUACGGAAUACGUCAGCAGAUUAGAUUUGUGUAAAUAUUAUUCUCUCUAUGGCAGUAUGUGGAAACUUAUUUUGCAGAGCCGGACACUAUCUUUGUGUUCAAAAUCUUCUAUGAAGUACUUGGAGGAGGAACCCGCCUUGCAAUGCCGAAGACAAUCUGCGUGCUGGACUCGUCGUCAUUGAAGCCUGGUUCAGGGGGUGUCCGGAUGGCCGGACUAUACCUUCAGCCGGACUCCUGGACUAUGAAGAUACAAGAUUGAAGACUUCGUCCCGUGUCCGGAAGGGACUUUCCUUGGCGUGGAAGGCAAGUUUGGUGAUACGGAUAUGCAGAUCUCCUACCAUUGUAACCGACUUUAUGUAACCCUAACCCUCUCCGGUGUCUAUAUAAACCGGAGGGUUUUAGUCCGUAGGACGACAUACCCAACAACAAUCAUACCAUAAGCUAGCUUCUAGGAUUUAGCCUCUCUGAUCUCGUGGUAGAUCUACUCUUGUACUACCGAUAUCAUCAACAUCAAGUAGGAUGUAGGGUUUUACCUCCAUCGAGAGGGCCCGAACCUGGGUAAAACUUCGUGUCCCUUGCCUCCUGUUACCACCCGGCCUAGACGCAUAGUUCGGGACCCCCUACCCGAGAUCCGCCGGUUUUGACAUCGACAAUCUUCGGCUUCACUUCAAAGGUCUUGAGCCACAGGCCGAAGUGAGGGGUAAUGCGGAGGAAGGCCUCACACACGACAAUAAAUGUCGAGAUGUGGAGAAAGGAGUCCGGAGCUAGAUCGUGGAAAUCUAGCCCGUAAUAGAACAUCAAACCCCUGACGAAGGGAUCCGAGUGAGGCCUAGGCCUCGGAGGAAGUGGGAGACGAACACGACGUUCUCGUUGGGUUCGGGGGUAGGGACGACCUGCCCUCGAGCAGGCAGCCGAUGCGAAACCUCGGCGUCAGGUAUCUGGCCUCCCUCAACUUCUUUAUGUCCUCUUCCGUAACGGAGGAGGGCAUCCAUCGGCCUUGAAGGCUGGAUCCGGACAUGAUUGAAGAUCCGGAGCACCUAACCUGGGCUUUGGGUGUUAGAACUCGAGGCGGGGAAGGGUUCGAUUGAGCAUGAGAGGGAAAAAGCGAAAACCUUGUCCCUUUAUAAAGAGGGUGAAUAUCAAGCGUCCUCUCCGUAGCCGCUUAGGACUUGCCUAUAAUCUAGGAGUCCUAGACACGGUUGGGUUACCCACGACCGCAUUAAUGAGAAUACCGUAAUUGGGGGAACACGAUCUCUUCUUUGACAAGACGUGUCAAGAAACCGCCUCACGUUAUGUGUGGAGCUGGUUGAAGAAAAACGGUUCGAAUAAUCACCGGGCCAUGACAUAACGUCAUGCUGCCAAAACAAGUCAGCAAAUUGGAUUUGCGAAAAUAUUAUUCUCUCUACGACAGUAUGUGGAACUUAUUUUGCAGGGUCGAACACUAUCCUCGUAUUCAAAUUCUUCUGUGAUGUAUUCGGAGAAGGAACCCGCCUUGCAAUGCCGAAGACAAUACAGCGCGCCGGACUCAUCGUCAUUGAAGCCUGGUUUAGGGGCUGCUGAGGGAGUCCUGGAUUAGGGGGUCUCCGGACAGCCGGACUAUCUCCAUUGGCCGGACUGUUAGACUAUGAAGAUACAAGAUUGAAGACUUCGUCUUGUGUCCGGAUGGGACUCUACUUGGCGUGGAAGGCAAGCUAGGCAAUAUGAAUAUGGAUAUCUCCUCCUUUGUAACCGACCUUAUGUAACCCUAACCCUCUCCGGUGUUUAUAUAAACCGAAGGGUUUUAGUCCAUAGGACAACAAUCACAACAUACAAUCAUACCAUAGGCUAGCUUCUAGGGUUUAGCCUCUCCGAUCUCGUGGUAGAUCUACUCUUGUACUACCCAUAUCGUCAAUAUUAAUCAAGAAGGACGUAGGGUUUUACCUCCAUCAAGAGGGCCCAAACCUGGGUAAAACAUCGUGUCCCCUACCUCCUGUUACCAUCCGGCCUAGACACACAGUUCAGGACCCCCUACCCGAGAUCCGCCGGUUUUGACACCGACAGCAAGCAUUUCAAAGGUGAGGCGGAUCACCGGACGAAGCCUCGCCACCAUACUGGUGCUGAUGUACAUGAUAUGGCCAAGGAUUUGAAGGUAGUCUUUGGAAAGGGUCCUGGCGGACAACCUGUUCCGAAUGACGUUGAUGGACGCGCACCCAUGUGGAAGAAGAAAUCUAUAUUUUGGGACCUGCCCUAUUGGAAAGACCUAGAGGUCCGCUUUGCAAUCGACGUGAUGCACGUGACGAAGAAUCUUUGCGUGACCUUGCUUGGCUUCUUGGGCAUGUAUGGGAAGACAAAAGAUACACCUGAGGCACGGGAGGACCAGCAACGUAUGCAUGGAAAAGAGGGCAUACAUCAGGGUCAUGCCAGCUACGCUCUUACCAAAGAAGAGAAGGAAAUCUUCUUUGAAUGUCUGCUCGGUAUUAAGGUACCGUCUGGCUUCUCAUCGAAUAUAAAGGGAAUAAUAAACAUGGCAGAGAAAAAGUUCCAGAACCUAAAGUCUCAUGACUGCCACGUGAUUAUGACGCAACUGCUUCCGGUUGCAUUGAGGGGGCUUCUACCAGAUAACGUUCGAUUAGCCAUUGUGAAGCUAUGUGCAUUCCUCAAUGCAAUCUCUCAGAAAGUAAUUGAUCCAGAAAUCAUAUCAAGGUUAGAGAAUGAUUUGGUGCAAUGUCUUGUCAGUUUCGAGUUGGUGUUCCCACCAUCCUUCUUCAACAUCAUGACGCACGUCCUAGUUCACCUAUGCGAAGAGAUUAACGUUUUGGGUCCUGUAUUUCUACACAAUAUGUUCCCCUUUGAGAGGUUCAUGGGAGUCUUAAAGAAAUAUGUUCAUAACCGUGCUAGGCCAGAAGGAAGCAUCUCCAAGGGCCAUGAAAAUGAGGAGGUCAUUGAGUUUUGUAUUGACUUUAUUCCUGACCUUAAGCUGAUUGGUGUUCCUGAAUCGCGGCAUAAGGGGAGACUGGAUGGAAAAGGCACGCUAGGAGGGAAUCAAAAAAUAUGUAUGGAUGGACAUUCUCUCACUGAAGCACACUACACAGUUCUACAAAAUUCCGCCUUGGUGGCUCCGUAUAUGGACGAACACAAGAAUUUUCUACGCUCCAAACACCCGGAGCGGUCUAAUGACUGGAUUACACGUGAACAAACCAGGAGUUUCGCCGGCUGGUUGUAGACACGUACCAUGCAUGACGCCUCUAUUGAAGAUGACUUGUACUCGUUGUCCCAGUUACCAUCUUCGAAUAUAAUGACUUUCAAAGGGUACGAGAUAAAUGGUAAUACAUUUUACACGAUCGCCCAAGAUAAGAAGAGCACCAACCAAAAUAGUGGUGUCCGCUUUGAUGCAACAACCAAGACGGGAAAGGAAACAUAUUAUGGUUACAUAGAGGAGAUAUGGAAACUUGACUAUGGACGUGGUUUGAAGGUCCCUUUGUUUUGAUGCAAAUGGAUCAAUAUGACACGAGGCGGGGUAACAGAAGACCCGCAGUAUGGAAUGACAAAUGGACAAUCUCUUUCGAAGUAUCAGGGUUUCGGACGAAAACUCAUCCGUUACAAAGGCAUUUCAUUUUUUAAUAACCUAAGCAUUACCAAAUUGAAUAUAAUGAUAAAAGACACUAAUAUUAAACAUAAGAAAAAAGAAUCACUGAAAAAUCUAUUUUCAAAGUUAAGUUAUUCACAAACUAGUGAUUCACACAAAUUUCAAAUAAUUCAAAAUGUAAACUAAUCAAAUUUGUAAACUACCGGCACUAAUAGAAAGUUUGUAAUUUUUUGUACCUAAAGCAAAAAUAUUCACAAGGAAACUCUAAAUACAGCAAAAAACAACUCAAAAAUAAAUAAAACAAAAAUAAAUAAAGCAAAAAAAGAAAAAGAAAAAUGCCCGCCUACUGCGCCACAGCGGCCUGCAUACGACUAGAAACCCAACCUAUUGUUGGGCCAGGAUGCAAGCCCGCAAAGGCCCAGUAGGCCCACAGGGCAGCACCGAACUUUUAGGCCCAGUAGGCCUGCUUUGGAGAGGAGCUCGAGAGAGCUACCGCACUGGGCUUAUAAACCAGUGCGGACGCCCCUCGGCUAGCGAGGUGGGACUAAACAUGACGCACCGCACCUGCGCCAGCGCACCCCCUUUAGUACCGGGUUGUGGCUCAAACCGGUACUAAAGGGGGGUCUUUAGUACCAGCUGUAGCCACCACGCGGUACUAAAGGGGGUUUGCUUCCCGCCGCUUGGCCUGGCCAAAACAAACCUUUAGUACCGGAGGUGGCUUCAACCGGUACUAAAGGUUAUUCUAUAUAAGAAAACACUUCAAAAAAAAGCAGUUUCUCAUCUCUCCCUCUGCUUUUUUUCCUCUGCCCCGUCGUCGCCGCCCCCGUCACCAUCUAUUGCCGUCCUUGUCGCCGUCCGCCGCCGUCCCCGUCCCCGUCGCCGCACCCCGCCCCAUCCUCCCGUCGUCCCCGCCCGGCCCGUCCCCGUCCCCGUCGUCGCCGCUCCGUCCCCAUCCCCGUCGUCACUGCCCGUCUCCGUCCCCGUCGCCGCCCCCCGUCGCCGCACCUCGCCGGUGAGCUCAUGCCCCGGCCGCCAUGUCCACACACACACACACAUUGUUAUAGAAAUGUUAGCAAUUUUUCUGUUUUUUAGUUAUAGAAAUAUUAGAAAUGUUAGUUAUAUAGAAAUGUUAUAAAUUUUUCUGUUUUUUAGUUAUAGAAAUAUUUAUAGAAAUGUUAGCAAUUUUUUCUGUUUUUAGUUAUAGAAAUAUUAGAAAUGUUAGUUAUAUAUAUAGAAAUGUUAGAAAUUUUAGAGUUAGUUUUAGCUAGAUGAAUUAGAUUAAUGUCAAAUUGUUAAUUUUAGAGUUAGUUUUAGUUAUCACAAUCCAAUCAUUUAAAAAAUGUUACUUUUUGCGGGCAUAUAGUAUUUGUUCUCGAUGAUGCCUGGCCCGCAUCCUCGCCGUCGACCCGUUCGCCACGACGUCCGGCUGACCCAUGUUUGGGACUGGGCUCCGCCGGGCUGGCACUGGGAGGUGCUACCUGGAGGGGCGCGUCGCUUGGUGAGGAACCCGGCCUCGGGUCCCGUCAUCGACCCUGAUCUCCUUUGGUGGCGUUCGCAUGGGUCACAUUUGGUGCAGAGGGAGCCGGCCCCGCCAGAGGUGGUGUGUCGUCGUGUCAGGGAGGAGGAUGAGCAUGUCCAUUGCUACAUGGCUGCUAUGGACGUCAGGUUCUCCAAUACCUGGCAGGUUCUUUGGGAAGAUGACCGGAGAUAUGAUCAUGUGAUGGUUCCUUGUCUUUGGGUGUCCACUGCCCGUGCCACAGGAACCACUAGUGGCCUAGAUUCUUCUGUAGUAUUUGAUCUUUAUUAGCUACCUAGCCAAUGAUGUAUUCAAGAUUAUAUAUUAUUCGAGAUGAUGUAUUCAAGAUUAUAUAUUAUUCGAGACGAUGUAUUCGAGAUUAUAUAUUAUUUGAGAUGAUGCAUAUUAUGUACUAUAUGAUUUAGUUUUUCCUUAUUGAUUGCAUCCAUGCAUUGUAAUUUGAAUACUAAAUUGUUUUAUAUUUCUUCUAGAUUAGUGUUAAAUAAAAGAUAUGGCGGACAAUACCGGCAGAGGACAUGUUCGAGAUCAUGCGCAGCCCUACCAGGCCAGAUGAUCUGAAUGAAGCAGAUGACGGCUCCCAAUAUCUAAACAAUACCGGGGAGGGUGAUGAUAAGAUAUUCGAUCAGGACGACCGAGCUGAUGAAGUCAUGAACUAUGAUUAUGAUUAUGAUUAUGAUGACUCAAACAAUGUUGAUCUUGAAAUAACAAAGACUACCGGUGAGGUAUAUUUAUAAGCAGGCAUCUGGUGAUCAUCACAUAUUUUUUUUAUUUUAAGAUAUAUUAACGAAUCGAUCUUUCUUCUUUCAGCCCUCCGAAUUGAGCAAAUCUGCUUCUACAGACGGAAGGACAAAGCGAGGCCCGGGCAAAAAGUUGAAGGAGGGUGUAAAGUACAACAUCGAUUCCAUCAAAGCGGGUGGCGAACCCCUCACGCCUAAGAACAUUGCGAACAAGUUCCUUCAUCAGUGCGGAGUUCUUGUGAAGGACCAACUCCCGAUCUCCAUUCAAGAAUGGAAAGAGCCAAAAACUAAACGUCCAGAUGUUACUUGGGUCGACGAUAGAGCAAAAGACAAUCUUUGGGAAUCUCUGAUGGAACAUUUCACCCUAUGAUACGUCUUCAACGUAUCUAUAAUUUUUGAUUGCUCCAUGCUAUAUUAUCUACUGUUUUGGACUAUAUUGGGCUUUAUUUCCCACUUUUAUAUUAUUUUUGGGACUAACCUAUUAACCGGAGGCCCAGCCCAGAAUUGUUGUUUUUUGCCUGUUUUAGGGUUUCGAAGAAAAGGAAUAUAAACGGAGUCCAAAUGGAAUGAAACCUUCGGGAACGUGAUUUUCUCAUCAGAUAAGACCCAGGAGACUUGGACCCUCCGUCAAGAAAGCCACGAGGCGGUCACGAGGGUGGAGGGCGCCCCCCUAGGGCGCGCCCCCCUGCCUCGUGGGCCCCUCGAAGCUCCACCGACGUACUUCUUCCUCCUAUAUAUAUCCACGUACCCCUAAACGAUCAGAACAGGAGCCAAAAACCUAAUUCCACCAUCGCAACUUUCUGUAUCCACGAGAUCCCAUCUUGGGGCCUGUUCCGGAGCUCCGCCGGAGGAGGCAUCGAUCACGGAGGGCUUCUACAUCAUCAUCUAAUCCCCUCCGAUGAAGUGUGAGUAGUUUACUUCAGACCUACGGGUCCAUAGCUAGUAGCUAGAUGGCUUCUUCUCUCUUUUUGGAUCUCAAUACAAUGUUCUCCCCCUCUCUUGUGGAGAUCUAUUCGAUGUAAUCUUCUUUUUGCGGUGUGUUUGUUGAGACCGAUGAAUUGUGGGUUUAUGAUCCAGUCUAUCUAUGAAUAAUAUUUGAAUCUUCUCUGAAUUCUUUUAUGUAUGAUUGGUUAUCUUUGCAAGUCUCUUCGAAUUAUCAGUUUGGUUUGGCCUACUAGAUUGGUUGUUCCUGCCAUGGGAGAAGUGCUUAGCUUUGGGUUCGAUCUUGCGGUGUCCUUUCCCAGUGACAGAAGGGGCAGCAAGGCACGUAUUGUAUCGUUGCCAUCGAGGAUAACAAGAUGGGGUUUUUAUCAUAUUGCAUGAAACUAUCCCUCUACAUCAUGUCAUCUUGCUUAAGGCGUUACUCUGUUUUUAACUUAAUACUCUAGAUGCAUGCUGGAUAGCGGUCGAUGAGUGGAGUAAUAGAAGUAGAUGCAGAAUCGUUUUGGUCUACUUGUCUCGGACGUGAUGCCUAUAUACAUGAUCAUACCUAGAUAUUCUCAUAACUAUGCUCAAUUCUGUCAAUUGCUCAACAGUAAUUUGUUCACCCACCGUAGAAUACUUAUGCUCUUGAGAGAAGCCACUAGUGAAACCUAUGGCCCCGGGUCUCUUUAUCAUCAUAUUAAUCUCCAUCACUUUAUUAUUGCUUUGCUUUUACUUUUUACUUUGCAUCUCUAUACCAAAAAUACCAAAAAAAAUUAUUUAUCAUCUCUAUCAGAUCUCACUUUCGUAAGUGACCGUGAAGGGAUUGACACCCCCUAAGCGCAUUGGUUGCGUUGAGCUAUUGUUUUUGUGUAGGUACGAGGGAUCCGAGCGUGGCCUCCUACUGGAUUGAUACCUUGGUUCUCAAAAACUGAGGGAAAUACUUACGCUACUUUGCUGCAUCAUCCCUUCCUCUUCGGGGAAAUCCAACCAGUGCUCAAGAGGUAGCACCCUACCAGAUUAUUUCACUGAUGCAGAUGUGCAGAAAGUCAAGGACGCUACUCUUAAGAAGAUGGCAAUUGCAUUCAACACCCACAAGAAAACUGUAUGGGCCAACUACCUCGCUGCAGACAGGAAGACUCUUGAAUUCACUGGAACACUGGAGAAGCAAAGAGAACACUGGCCCGCUUUCGUGGAAUUCAAGGAAUCGGAAUUAUCUAAGGAACGGUCGAGAAAAAACAAGGCCAAUGCCGCAAAAAAGACGCAGUUCCAUAGGCUGGGGACAGGUGGCUACGCGGUGGCAAUGCCUAAGUGGGAUAAGUUUGAGCAAGAUAUGGAGGAUGCAGGGGUCACUCCGGUUACUAGGAGCUGGGCCCCCAGGUGCAGAACUUGGUUCUAUGCGCAUGGGGGGAGUUGGACCCGGAGACAGGCGAGGUUUCGAAGAAGGCAAGUCUAAAAGGAGCCGAACAAAAGUUACUUGACGCAAUAUAAGAUGCUCGAAAGGGGGUGUUCACGCCCAACAGAGAGAACGACGAGGUUUCGCGCGCCCUGGGAAAUCCUGAACACCCGGGAAGAACACGAGGCAAGGGCGUUAUUCCCUGGUAUGAGGGCUUUUUGGAAUGGAACGACGACUACAGGAGCCGUGCAAGAAAGAAGAGGGAGGAGGAGAAGAAGAGGAAGCUGGAGGAGGAGCAGAGGAAGCAGGACGCAGAACGCCUUCAAGGCCUAGAAGCAAGGCACGCGGACUUGGCACUCAAAUUCCAGCAGCAGCAGCAGAUCGACUCACUUAGCCAGGAAAGGGGGUCUCAGCAGCGGCAGCAGCAAGCGGAUGAUCGUCCAGCAUUGGAUAGCACCAUCCCAUCCAUGCUGAGAAGCAGCAUUGGUUCCGCCCCGGCGACGCACUGCUGGAUACAUACCCUAUGAAUGACAUCAUAGAGAACACUAACUGUGAGCUACACUUCAAAAUGAAGAACAUAUCCAUGAAGGUGGCGGACGCCGUUGCUUUUACAAUUACCCCCGAAGCAACCUUCCAUUGCACCCCGAUUCCAGCAGGCUAUGCUCGUGUCUUGGUUGAUGAGGUGGUGGACCCAUAUUCGGGGCUACAGCUUGACAUUCCUGGAGGUGACGACGAGCACACACUGGGAGAGGCCAUACAUCGUAUCAUCCUAUGGAGAAAGGAUUGCAUCGUCUUUCGAAAUCCACCGACACCGCGUCUGCCGACUCCUCCUCGAAGUCCGCCACCGAGUCAGGGGACUCCCGCUCCUCCAAGUCCACGAACACGUGAGCCGACUCCUCCUCGAAGUCUGCCACCGUGUCUGCAGACUCCCGCUCCUCCAAGUCCACGAACGCGUGAGCCGACUCCUCCUCGAAGUCCGCCACCGUGUCAGCAGACUCCCGCUCCUCCAAGUCCACCAAUGCGUGAGCAUACUCCUGCUCCAAGUCAGCCAUGUCAGCCGUCUCCGCCGCCUCAGCAAUCGCAGAAGAGACACGUUGCAGCUAUAGUGCGUAGCGGUACGAGUCGAGGUAGUACAGGAGGUACAGGCGGAGGCAAGCGAUAUAAAUAUGGUCCAAGCCUCGCUCCUCUUCCUUAGAGGCCUUACGACAUGACCGAGGAGCAAAACAAAGCCAUAGUGAAGGCCCAAGUGGACGCCCAUUUUGGACCGAAAUCGGCACCGCCGCCAAGGGAGAAAGUGCCCGAGGAAAAGAUUGACCACUUCAUUCGUAUGUCUAGACCACCAGCUCCCAAGCCUGUUGACUCUGACUAUGAGCGCCAACUCAGGAAGGCACAUCGAGCACGAGUACAGAGGGAAGCGAGCUCGAGCUCGAGCCAACAAGCAGCUGCCAAAAAAUGCGGGAAAACCGUUCCCCGGCUGGGAGAACAGGCGGCGCAAUCGACCCCCCGCUUGUUGUGCCAACAACACAUGAGAGUACGCGCGCCGUAUAUUAUUGUGGGCAAACCGUUCCCCAGUUGAACAAUCUGAUAAUAACCGAGGAGCAUAUAAGGAAUGCUAAAAUGCUCGGUAUCAGUGUUUGACAACUCCUCGACAUCGAGCCCAUGUCCCCGCUUAGAGAGGAGGAAAUAAAACGGUAAUAUGUCCGCGGCCAACCUUUGGUCAAGCCCGAGGAGGUCAAGAACCUCCCAACGAGAAUGUAUGAAUUGCAUCAAUGGUACAUGAACAUUACUAAGAUUUCCAAUCGAGAGUCUCUCAUGGUGAAUGUCAAGGCGGAGCAUUACUUUCAUAAGAAAGCUCUGGCCGUUGAGUAUACAGAACUGUUUCAAUUAUUCAAUCAAGACGCACUCGACAAAUCUCUUAUCAGUUGUUAUUGUCUGUAAGUGAUUUCUUUCUGUAAUUUAAGUCUCAAGCUAGCUGUAGUGAUCAUUUUGAUCAAUCAUUACCUGUAAUUAUCCUCACUAUAUUUUUUCUGUGGUAUUAUGCAGGAUGAAGAUGUAUGAAAUGAAAAAAUUUGGACGCUAUGGCAUUGGAUUCAUUGACCCUAAUACCGUUAAUGCGUACACAUGAAAUAUUCCAAGUUGUCGAGCAAGUUUAGAGGAAAGCAUGCUAGAGUUCUCCAAGCGACUCAAUAGCAAUGAAGAUAUACUACUUCCUUACAACUUUCUGUGAGUCACAUUGUCUUUUGUACUACAAAUUCUGUUUUUGCUUAUAUAUAUAUGACCGGUUCUACGAGAAAAUCUAUAUAUAUAUAUAUAUAGGGAAAAUCCAUUCUACCACCCGGUGGUAGUUACCCCACAUAUCUCAUAUACUACCAUGUGGUACUAUAUAUACAAUUUUAUUAUUUUAAAUAUGUUCAUAUAAUAUAUCUAAGAUAUUUCAAAGCAAGUUACAUGAAAAAAAAUUGUAUAUGAACCCAUAUUUUUUGUUAUAUUUGUGAAAUACGUACAUAUUUAUACGUAAAAAAGAGCAUACUAAAAACAAGGUAUAUACUACCUAAAAAUUAGUAUAUAUACUACCUAAUCAUUGUUAUAUACUACAUACUACACAUACAUACUCUCGGUUUCGUUAGAUACUACAUACAACAUACAAAACGCAAGUGAUGGUAACUACCACUGCUUGUAGGAAACAUAUAUAUAUAUAUAUAUAUAUACAUGCAUAACGUGUACAAUACGUAGUAUCAUAAAAUACCAGCAAAUAAGAAACACAAAAUUAAAGAAAAAAGAAAUCGUGAACCCAAAACCCCGAAACAUUUUAGAACCGAUUGAUGUUACCAACCGGUACUAAAGGUCUCCCCGCCCCUGGCCCUGGCUCGUGUCACGUGAUGGCUCUUUAGCGAUGGUUCAUGCUGACCGGUACUAGGGUGGGGGGGGGCUUUAGUCCCCACCCUUUAGUGCCGGUUAUGAACCGGUGCUAUAGACCGAUUCUGCGCUAGUGUGAGGAGCUCUGAGGCCGAGCAGGAGGACGGCGGGGCGCAGACCCCCCGCGCGCGGACCACGUGUUCGACACCUAGCAGCAGCUCAGGACGCAAACCCCUGAUGCUAGAUUCGCCACCCCAUUGUCGUUCAACGCUGAGGACCACGACGCCACCAUCGGCCUGGAGCACCCGCUCAAGUACCGCCUGGUGAGCCACCUGAAGGACUAGGUCACACGACAUGUUGACCUGGCGCAGGUACAUCACUAGCAGUGUGACGAGUUAUGUGUGUAAUUAUUUGCUCUUAGACUUGCGAUUGCAGUGAGAGACUCGGCUGAGAGUUGCCUAGCAAUGUGAUAAUUUAUGUGUUUAAUUAUUAUCUUUCGGGGACCUGCCUAGCAGUGUGUGAGGCUUAUCUAGCUGAGGCCAUACCCGCCUAAUUAUUUAUCUUUGGGACCUGCGUAGCAGUUUGUGAGACUUAUCUAGCAGUGUGAUUACUUAUGGAAAAUGCUUAAUUUGAUCUCACUGAUUAUUGUACCCUGACCUCCAAAACUAGCGAUACACAUUCUAGUGCAUAUUUUUGAAUAAUGACGCUCACACAUUCACACCUUUGUUAUACUGAGCCAAAGAAGCUGGCAAUCUCAUCAUGUCCGUGCAAGUCCAUCACUUUAAUGAAAAAAAAGUAGACAUCAAAUCAUAUAUUUGAAGAGAAAAUGUUUACCAUAAAUGUGUAUAAAUAAAUAUUCUGAUGUAUUCAAAAAAUGUACACUAUGUAUGAAAAAAUUAGACAUGUGUUCAAAGAAAAGAAGAAAAACAAAAGAAGACAGAAGGAAUCCUGUGAAAAAGAAGAAAGAAAAAAAAGAAAAACAGAAGAAAACCAAUGCAAAACAGUGAAAACCGGAUUAAAAUCACAAGAAAAAUAACAGUAUUGGGCUAGCCCAGUAGGCUGACUCAAAUAUAUGUAUUGAACAAAUUUAUUAAAUGGCAUACUAAUAGCAUGUUAAUAAAUAACUAAAAGUAUUUUGUUUGGUUCAAAAUUUUGUUCAUAUGGCUCCGGAUAUCCUUUCAUGAUUACUAUAAAUAAAAUUUUCAUGAUGCAAGUCAAAAAUAUUUCAUGGAAUCACAAAAUAUCUUAUAUUGUGUCUCACACAUAAAAUUAUUUUGUGUUCCAAUCUGAUAUGUUUUAAUGAAACCAAAUGUUGAAAACUAUCAAAAGAGUGUUCACAUAGUAUUUAUGUCUUGGAAAGAAAAAUAUUCAUAUGUACGGAAAUUAAAUAUGUUUCCAAGAUAUGAAUAAUUAAUUAAUUACAAAAGUAAAACCGAGCUGCCUACGCCUCUCCGCAGCGAUAAAGCUCGUCAGUCAUCAGAUCCUUCGACGUCAUUCAGGAGUACACGCAGACGGUUGUCUACAUAAGUGACAGCUGGAAGAUGGUGUAUCUUGUGUUGGGUUUGUGGUUCGAGGCUGAAAGUUCUGGCUUCCUUCUCCGACGUCGUAGUCAUGCAGGGGUGUCAGUUCUGAAGUUGCCCCGGUCUGAUUUUUUCAACGACAAUGGUUUUGCUUCAGGCAAACUACUUUGGAGGUCCGUAAAGCUGCUGAUCAGCGAUGGAGCCGCGUCGAGUUCGAGUGAAGAGGUAAUCUAUCUCCUCUUCCUUAGUGGAGAGGGACAGGCCCUGGUUUUCUGCAUAGGAUUAUCCCAUCUUCUCAGUCCUAUAAUGUCGAUGUUUAUGUGGCUUGUAACUGAAUCUUUAUUUUAUUAAUAAGAUACGUAUUAUCAUGCAAAAAGUCAUCGUAUCCUUGUAAGUACCAUAUCAGUCCAUCGUGUCAUGGGCGUAGGAAAGGUAUUUUUUUCCCACCUGCCAGGCCGCUUCGACUGUUGGCCCAGCGUAUUCAGCCCCGUUCCUAUGAUGUCGUUUGAGGAUACAUCAUUUACUAUCUAUCUAUCUAUCUAUCUAUCUAUCUAUCUUUUUUUGAGAGAAAACAAAGCUUUAUAGAUCAACAACGUCUGGGCAUAUCGCGCGACACGCAAGCAGUCACUUUAGACGGUACAAUAGGAUCCCACUCUACACACACAUUUGGUGAAUAAUUUCAACCUAUAUGGGCUAACUCAUGCGCAACAGAAUUCAUAGUCCGUCUACACGCACUGACACUCCACCUGGAGAACCACAUCUUUAAUUGAAACUUCAUGUCUUCAAUGAUUGUUGCAUAUGGCGAGGCGUCGACACGCCGGAUAUCCAUCGCCUCAGCCAGCCGCUCAGAGUCCGUCUCAAAAGUCACUCUGGUAGCUCCUAUCUCAGCUGCUGUUGACACCGCCACUGCCAGAGCAUUGACCUCUGCUCUGAAAUCAUCAUGAACCUGCUCUUGCCUCCCUGCCCUAGCGAUGAUGACAUGCCAUGUGCUAUCGCGAGCCACAACUCCCCAUCCACUGAAGGAGUUCCCCAGUGUGAAGGCGCCGUCUAGGUUAAAUUUAAUGACCUCGUCUGCAGGCGGUUGCCACUUCUCGGGGGGCGUUUAGGCUUGGCCGGUUAGAAAACCUGCUCAUACUCAAGUGCAUCACAGCGUGUUCGCCUAGCAAUCUCUGCCACAUGCACAGGAAGCUCUCCUUCUUUGACUUUAUUCCUGUUGUUCCACCAAUGCCACCAAAAGGAUAUGAUUAGCACCCUUUUCUUUUCAUCUAGACCCCAUAAAGAGUCGAGCAUUGCAUGCACACUCCCAAUCCCCUCGAGCAGUCCGCUCCAGUUCCAACCUCAGGUGCCCCCAAACUUCCUUUACUACCUUGCAUUUUAUGAACAGGUGGCCACCAUCCUCUUCCCCUCUGCCACAUAGGAAACAGCUCGACGACUCUAAUUUCAUUCCGUGUCUCACCAAGUUUGUGCAGAGGGCUAGGGACUCAUGCCGGAUUCGCCAGGCAAACAUUUACAGCUUUGCUGGACAGGGGAUCUUCCAUAUCCGCUUCCAGCUCUGAUCCGGACAUCUAUCAAGUUGGCGUGAUCCCGCUGUGCUCGUACUUGGUGCCCCAUUUCUUCUUUGUUUGUUCAACUCCGCUAGCAGCUUGUAGGCACUCUUAACUGAAUGAUUGCCCUUUGUAUCAAAGUGCCAUGCGAUGAAGUCCUCUACCCCCUCCCUCAGUGGGAUUUGGAGUAUAUAGCAGGCAUCUUCCGCACAAAAAGUGUCCCUAAUUAGGCGUUCAUCCCAUCCACCCAUGAUCGGGCUGAUCUAUUUAUCUACUAUCUACUAUCUAUCUAUCUAUCUAUCUAUCUUUUAUCUACUACCACUAUAAAAGCAGGAAAGAGCGGAGAACCAAAUCAUUUCAACCAUCAAAACAUGUUAAUCUGAUGGUCUAGAUCGUCUCAUAGCAUUCUCUUCCGCCACCACCAUUCUCUUCCGCUUGCGUGCUCUUGCCUUGCCCGCACCUCCGACAUGCUCUUCAUGGCCGCCGCCUGGCCCGCCUUAGGAAACCGGCACCAUCACGCGACCUGCUGUGGAUCCGCUCGAGGGGUAGACGGAGCAGGGCGGCGGUUCUUGCCGGCGCCAAGGAGGGCGAACAGGAGAGCGUCCCGGAGAGGCGGAGACGUACAAUUCCGUCGACGCUGCCGCAUCUGAGAGCGCCGAGAAGCAUGACCUUGAGGUAAUUGAUUGAUGGUGGUCGAGACUCGAGAGCGGCGGUUGGCCCAAAGGAGUUUUUCACGUUCUUCUUGGUUCUUUGGCGCAGGAACCAUCGCCUGAGUCGGACGAGGUCGCGGCGGUGUCUCGCAACACGACAUUAAUCGCCGCGGGAGUUGACGAUGGCGCCGGCUCCGAGCCUGUUCUUGGCGCAUCGUCGUCCUCGGUGCCGUCGCCCGCGGUGGUCACUCAUGAAGACCAUCUGGAGAGAAGCAGCACAAGGUGAGUUACUUAGCAUACAACUUGUGAUGCAUUUUUCUGGUUUAUAGGUGUGCGUGUGUUCUGAUCUGAUGGUAUUGUUUUUUCGUGUUCUUUCUGUUCUUCAGUGAUGGUUAGCGAUAUGGUUCGGGAUUGCAUACUGGGCCUGGCAAAUAACAUUUGGGGGGUCACACACGGCCUUGGAAUCCUUUAUCUGCACCUCGUUUUUGUUCGACGCAGCCCUGAACAUAUCAUUGUGCCUGGUGAAUUAUGUAUUUAUGUAUAACUGAAAUUCUGAAUGAACUCAAGUUGUCAUAUGGGAGUGCUUGCAAUAUUCACAGGUUGCAGUUUCUCCAAUGCUGAAUGUUUAGUCUCUUCCGACUCCAGAUUGCCUACGCUUUGACGAAGUCGAACCAGCAGCCGUCGCCCAUUACCACAAUAAGCACCUCGCUCCCCUCCUCCUCCCCUUUGGACCACCGGUAAUUUACCCUGCUUCCUAGCUUCAAUUAUCAGUUUAAAUAUGCAAAUACUCACCUCCUUUUGCAAUCCUGGUCAGUUUAAAAUAUGGCUAUUGAAGAUCCAUUUAUACUUCCACUGUUCCACAUGGUUUUAGAAUCUGGAUAAAAUCAGUAUGGCAGUAACGUGAUUCGUUCAAGUGAGGUGUCUUUUGUAGUCUUGCUGAUAUACAUAAACCAUAACCAUAUUUUGUAUGACUCUCAGCAUCCUUGGAGUGAAAGAUAGUGACUGCAUAAUGAAGUUUAAAUCAUAUUUCAUAUGUUUGUUUCGAUGAUGAAUUUUUCUUUUAUUUGCUUCUAGGAUCAGUUUGGAACCAGCCCUCUAGAUUAGAGUAACUGAAAAUUGAUGUAUAAUAUUAGGUGUGUGAUUUUAGUGUGAAAAAUGGGCUUAAGUUAUUUGAAUAUUGUCGUAUAAAAUGUAUUUUUUAAUUGCCCUUACAAAUCAGGAAAAAUUAUAGUUCCAAGCAUUUUGAAGUGAGAUCGGAUAUUGUCGUUUCGUUAUUUUUUCAGUUUUUUGCCACAUGGUUUUGUUAAUCAAAACUAUUAAAAAAUUGUAUUUAACCCUUUGUUUAGCUCAGCUGGUUACUUCUAUUCUAAGCUUUACUAACUGUUGAAUGUGUGAUUCUAGUGUGAAAAAUGGGCUUAAGUUAUUUGAAUAUUGUCGUAUAAAAUGUACUUUUUUUAAUUGCCCUUACAAAUCAGGAAAUAUAGUUCCAAGCAUUUUGAAGUGAGAUCAGAUAUUGUCGUUUCGUUAUUUUUUCAGUUUUUUGUCACAUGGUUUUGUUAAUCAAAACUAUUAAAAAAACUGUAUUUAACCCUUUGUUUAGCUCAGCUGGUUACUUCUAUUCUGAGCUUUACUAACUGUUGAAAGUGUUAUACUUUCAAUUAACACUUUAUUUUUGUAUUGUCCAAUUGUGUUUAACCCUUUGCAAUUUUUGAUUCUUGGAUCCCUUCUGUUGUUAUACUAUUUGUGCUAUACUUCCGAUUAGCUGUUUUGAAAUUCUGAGCUUCCUAUCAUAUUUUUUGAGUUAUCCAUGUUGUACCCAAUGCGUGUCGGGGAUCGUUCCCUGUUUAAGGACAUAACGAACUCAUCUGUAAAUAGAAACGCAGAAACUAGUCAUACUCAGGUAGGGCGCUCAUGUACAUUCCACCACUGAUGUCCUUGCGGUUUGCUUCCCGUAUUUCUUAAGCAAAAGAGUCGUCUUUACUAUCAUAAUUUUGUUUCCUUGCCUAAUAUUUGAACAGUGCUUAACCUUAUAUUAUUUUUGCACUCAUGUUUACUUGUGAUAAUAUUAAGGUUAUGAUAAUGUGUCCAUUUUACCCCGCUGGCAUAUAUAUGCUUUUAGAUGCAUUUACUUAAUAGUAGAAAUGAAUAAUGUGUUUUUGGUUACAUUGUUUCAUCAAUGGAUUUAGAGAGAGGGGAAAAGGUGUGAACAUAUGUAUAUGUAACUCAUUGGCGUUCAUAAGUCUGAAGAAUGACCAACGACAACUCAAAACAAUGAGAAUGGAGUCCUGAAGUUAAAUUCCUUGACUAUGUACACAAAUGCUUAAGUACACUACAAAGUAUAAAUUUUAUUAAUUAUAGCUUUUCUGAAACCUCAAAUACACAUUCGUUCGUAAUAUUUUUUACUUUUAUGAUUGAGUAUUCUAUCCAUACUCCCUGCAAAAUAAAAAGAUAUUUUAUCUAGACACGUGAAAUUUCACAUCCACGCUUACUAGUGGAAACUAGUAAUGGAUUAGUGACGUUGUUUGAAUAUUUUAUAUGUUUAAACUACAUGCUCCGAAUACUAUUUAACUUUGAACUAUGUAAUUUUAAAUUUGAACUAUUUAUUCUAUGUUUAACCCAUGCAUUUCUUUCUAGUAUUCACGUAUAGGAGGGCUGAAAUUUGAGGAGUGCCCUUGGAGAUGCCUUUAGUGGACUAAACUGGACUGUCAUAAUAAUUCCAAUCACCUGCCAUGCAUUUUACUCUUCAAAAUCCAGCCAUUCAGUAAUGCACAUAGAGCGCAAUGUGGAACUGGGCGUUCAGUUGUGAAGUAAUCAAGGCAUUUGUGGCGGCUGGAAGUUUAAAAAUUUGCACCAGUUGGACGUUUUCACCAGAUGGAUUGCCCCACAAAAGAGGAAGUGCUGCUUACAACUGAUCGAACUAUGUAAAUCCCUAUAUCUACUUCUCAUACUGCCCGAAGUACACACCCGAGAUGGCCACGAGUAUGUUCAGCAUCACAACUUCAUCGUCCAUCUCCGACUUGGUGGCGAGGAUGGUUGAGCACUUGCGCAGCAUCGACCUCAGCGACGCGCAUGUCUCUGCAUCCAAGGGCGGCUCAACAGCGACGCAUAGCGCAAACAGCCACAGGCAGUCAUUCCUUGAGAGUGUAUCAAAGCUCUGGAUCAUAUCGAUGUAGUUGCGCAGUGUGGCAGCUCUUGAAACUGCGUCCAUCUUGCGAAUCAUCGUCAGCGUCGGGUCGAUCUGCGGCUCAAAGCUGAUGCCAGGUUUACAGGAGUUCUUCACCGCUCCUGAUACAGAUGGUCCAUCAGAGCUGUCAAGUUCCAAGAAUGCCUGCGGAGAAGAGUAUUCAUACAUCACUAUAGCAGACAUGAUUGUCAAAAAGCAGCUAACGACAAAGGAGAUUCACGCCAAGUUACUCUAAUUGUACCGACUUCAAGUUCAAGUCAUCAGAAAGACAGUCAACACCAUUUGUCAUUGCAAAAGGUGGAGCAGCAAGGUAGUUGUACAUCAUGUUUCUCCAUUUUUAAUUUGCAAGGUAUGACAGGUUUCUGAAUUUAGGAAUUUUCACAGGUAACAGUGAUUUUACUCUCAACCCCAAGAUGCCUGUCUCAACUUCAGGUUUAUCAAUUAGUUAUUGCAAAUGACACUAGUAACAGGAUAUGAGUUUAUCAAUUACUUCAAGAUUUUGCUCUACCAUGAUAAAAACACCCCUAAAAGUCUACUAGUAGUUAUAGCAUAGUAGUACGGUGCCCUGUUGCUAUCUAAAAUAUUUUGAACAUGUGCCGUUAAGAUCUGGGCGCUUGACAAAAUCAAAUAUUAAAAAUUGUAAAUGAAUCGAAAUAACUAUGUAGAUACAGUUUAAUUUUUUACUUCAAACAGGGAGUAGCAGCCAAGGCCAAGACACACAUAGUGUUUCCUUCACGACUAUAAUUAUGAAAAGGGGAACAAAGCUUUUAUGCACAGUGGUACAUUUAAAUGGAAAUAUAGCUUACCAGCCUUGUCUCUGAAAAAUAAGUAAUAAAUGAGUCCUCCCAUUCCUUUGAUGCACACAAAUCAGGUGAACACUUAGGUAUGUCAGGAAUUUCUGGCAUAUAAGGUGUUUGCUCCUUUCUAGCUGCACUCAAAUCUAUCUUGGCCACCUUCACUUUAGGAAUCUGGUUAGCUUCCCACCUGUAAACAUAAUCAAAGGAAUAAUCAUUAAAGCAAUAAUAAUUUUGCAUCAAAAGGAACAUGGCCAAAUGUUUAUCCACAGAAGUUAAGAAAAAAAAGACAAAUAUUUUGCAAGAUGAAAUCAACGAUACCCUUGCCUCUAAUUUCUUUAUUCGACAGACAGUGCGGUUUCUAUUACGUUUAGGCUCAUAUAGAUGCUUUGAGCUAUGCAGAUACAUGAUUAUGCACUAUAGAACUGGGUCAGCAGAACAGAUGUGUUGCAAGAAAAAUUGAUGAAAUGACAGCUCAAUAAGAAUCGCAACACAAGUGAGAUACUUGAGAGUGAAACUGUACCAUAUUUCUUGAUCUCGGGAACGAGAUGAGAAGGGGAACUGCAGAUCUUUCCCAUUUGCUGUUCUAUUGUCCAAGUGCUAAAACUAAGCUCUUACAUAUUGAUCUGGUAACUAAUAUAAAGUUUGUAUUUCAAAUCUCUCAGGUUUGCGUUCCAUAGCACUAUGUCAACCCAUAGAUCAUAUGCAACACCAUUGCAUGCAUACACACUGGCAUCUAAGCGGUGGUCUGGUCUCGCUGCCCACUUGCCAUUUUUUGUACGAAGAACUUGCAUAUCAGAUAUAUUAAUGUUAGUUAAUGCAUCUAUGAACUCAAUUAAGAGAAAGAAAAUUCAGAGAUAUUAAUGCACAAUCCAUCCCUCUGCUUUCCUAAGCCUUAGUUGUUCCUGCUAGAGCUCCAGCAAGAUGAGCUGGUAACAUUCCCUUCUGGAACAUCGAUAGCAACAAAAAAAACAUUGGUGGCAAAUUAACUAAGAGGUUAAAAAAAUCAUAUUACAACUGCAAUGUUCACUAGUUUCAGGCAAUCGUGAAUUUUGGUACAAGACUUGCAAAAGCAAGCCAGGAUUGUAAAAAUAAUAAUAACUUAUUAGGUUACAUAGAUUUCUACUUCCACUUCCAUGAGAGCUAGAGGCACGGCAAGUAAAUUUUCUCCAACAGGAUUUCUAAUAGAAUGAUGAUAAUGAUGUUGGCUCUGAAAAUAGAAAUCUAAAUACCAGAAGAAAGCUAUUCAGCGAGCACCAAAAUUACGAUUUACGAAAGAAAAACAUGAAAACAUACAAGGAAGCUGGCGCCAGCACCUACAUUUACCAGUAAUCUAGGGUGACAAUCAGGCAAUUAUAUGCUCCUAACAGCUGUCAGCUACUCACUCGGGGUAAACAUUCACCACAUAAUGACAACACGAAAUGCACACACGCACUUCAAAGGCCUCCUAGAUCCAACCAAUCGACCAGGAUGAUGAGCAAAGCAUACCUGACACGCCGGAGAUACUCGAAACCAUCGAGCGGCUCGCCAGACUCGAAAUCAGGCUCCCCAUCAACCGCAAAGGCAGGCUUCAGAAUGCCAUCAUACUCAUCAUCACUGUCAUCUUCAUACUCCACAUCCCCGCCCUGAUCAAACGGCUCCCCGGUCGCCUGAUGAACCCCCGAAUCACCAUUCCUCCAGGCACCCAUCUCUACAAAAUCACAAGCAAAAGGAACAAUUACUAUCUAAACAAGUGGAGUAGUACUCUGUAAACCUAAAGGGGUCCGAGCCCCGCGGCUAGGUUCGCAAGCGCGAAAUCAAGAGGGGGUUCAAUACCGGACAACUGGUGCGCCGCCGCCUCGGGCCUCUUCUUCCCGCCCCCGGAGACCUUCUUCCCCCUCCUGGUCAGCGGCUCGUCGGAGGCGAGGAGGCCGUCGUAGUCCCCGGAGAAGCCCGCGGCGGCGAGGGCCGCGUACACCUCGGCCCACCGCAGCGCCUGCGCCUCCCGCGACGGCGCGCCGCUGAGCGCCUCCAGCUCGUGCCUCGUGUACCUCAUCGCCCCCGCCGCCAGCACCUCCUCCACCUCCAAUGACGGCGGCAACAGAGCACGAAGGGUUCGAGUUUCCAUUUUUUUUCCACCAAACCCCACGGGCUCGGCUCGCCUCGCCGCCUCUCUCUUCGUGGGCUAGCAGUUGGGCCUGGCUCGGACGAGGCCCAGUUGAUUCGCAUCGUGGGCUGUAUAAAAUAGCGAAGGGGUGACGCGGCCGGCACAGAGCCGCAGACGUUCGCACCAACUCCUCUGAACUCUGAAGCCUGGACGGAGCGGAGAGGAAGGGGAGAGAUCACCGACCGGCGGCGAGGCGAGGGGAGGGGAGAUGGCCGGAGGAGAGGAAGGGUGGAGGAGGAGCGGCAUCGAGGUGAGCACCCUGCAGUUCGGCUACGACGGGGAGGCGCCGCUCUUCGCGCGCUUCAACCUCCGCGUCGCCCCCGGCUCGCGCUGCCUCCUCGUCGGCGCCAACGGAUCCGGUAAGCACCUCACCCCCACCGCUCACCACGAGCCGCGAAAUCUACUUUGAUGCUGCUCCUGUCCGGUGAUUGUAUGGUUCGGACGGGUCCUUCUGCUGGGCACCUUGUGGCUUGCCUAGCUGCCGGAUGAUUUAGGCACGAAUGUUCAGACUUCAGGGGAUUGAUUGAUGUGACUGCGUGAGGCUCCGUUAACGUGCUAGAUGUUGUUCUUUCUGCGUUUGCUAGGACUGGGCUAGAAUGUAGUGAUUGGUCUGUAAUUUGGUUGUUGCCUCAAGAAGUCAGGAUUGCUGUGUGGUGGCCUGGUGAGGGUUUUCGUGUGCUCUGUCCGUUUAAAUGGCCUCUGUUUUGAGGGGAAUGGUGCUGUAGUUAAAAUGUUGGGAUUCUUCAGGCGGGGCUGCGGUUGUGUCGUGCAUUUGUGCUUGAGAUGGAACUGGCUCAAUAGUAUGAACACAACUGUGAGCACAGAUUAGCUAAUUAUAUACUAGGGGGGGGUGAUCGAAAAGGGCACUGCACUGGAAUGGAUGAAAUGCUGGCCGAUACUUUUUGUAUGGUAUGGCCUAUUGAAUUUUCGUUUGCGGUUCUUUUGUCGUGAUAUUGAGCAUCGCGUCCGUCAAGGUUUGGGCAUCUCCUGUCUUUCUUUCUCAUACAGAUUGAAGGUGGUAGAGCUGUGGGAUUUCUUGUCCAAGGGAUGCCCUUCGUUCAGCUUUAGCAUGGGUUUUAGGCAGCUUGUACUGUAAAUGUCAUGUGUGACACAUUUUUUUAUUGGAGAUUACCGUCUCUGGAAUUUUUCAUGAUAACCGUGUGGCACCAGUAGAUCGCUAUGCCAAAUUCCAAAAGGGGUGCUGCCAUAACAGAAGGAAAUUCUUUGUCCAUUCUGAAUUAAUCUGCAAACACGUGUACAAUGCAUUGUUGCUGACUUGCUGAUGUAUGUUUUGUUCUUAUCUUGGAUGAGUAAUGUCUUCUACACAAAUUUAUGUACCUGUUUAUUUCAAACUGCAGGCAAGACCACUCUCUUGAAGAUUCUUGCAGGAAAACAUAUGGUUGGAGGAAAGGAUGUUGUCCGUGUUCUUAAUGGUUCUGCUUUUCAUGACACACAGUUCGUGUGCAGUGGUGACCUUUCCUACUUGGGUGGUUCGUGGAGUCGGAAUGUCAGUUCAGUUGUAAGUUCCCUCUUUUUUUACUUGUUAUAAGAACUAGAAAUUUAGCUCUUGCUUGCUAUCUUCAUUAUUGAUGUUUGCCUAACUGAGCAUUUUCUUACUUUUCAAAUGGCUUUCUCCAGAAAAUCUCAUGGGAGCUAUUUUUAAUUACUUAAUGCCGGCUGAACUAAUAUAGUGGCCUUUGUCCAUGUUGUUUCAGUAUCUAUAGAUAUUCUAGGUGCUUGACUGAAUAUUGUAGCUGCAGCGAACCUUUUUCCAUAAAAAAGUUGUUAGAAUUCCUCUUUCCCUACUUCAUUAAUUAAUAAUUGAUGUAUGACCAGCUUGUCGACAGCACUUUUUAUGCGUGCUUUAUUUGUCAGAGCAAUGGCUUUGUAUCUUACAUGCAAGUAAUUUUCUCAGGGUGAUGUUCCACUACAGGGCGAUUUCUCUGCUGAGCACAUGAUAUUUGGAGGUAUUCUACAUGCAGCAUGCUCAUCAUAUCCCAUUAUUUGUUUUAUAUGGAUGGAACAUGGAAGCAAUAAUGUGUGCACAUACUGUUUAUUCCUUGAAUUAACUUGUAUCCAUUGAUGCUUCAAGCAUUCCUUGUAGUUAAUUUCCUGCUGUCAUGAUAUGUUUAUUUAAAUCAUUUUACUUCCACAUUUGUGGUUUAGCUUUAUCGAGUUUCGUUUAAUCAUCUCAGUUAAAAUCCACUGAAAUCCAUGUUACUCUUAUUAUUACUGCAAAUAGGUAAUUGAUGUUAUUGACAGUACAUGUAAAUACACCUUUCUUCCUCCACCCUGAAACAUGAGCAGUUGAUGGAGUUGAUCCUGUUAGGCGAGAGAAGCUGAUUGAUCUACUAGAUAUUGAUCUGCAAUGGCGCAUGCAUAAAGUUUCAGACGGACAGCGCCGCAGGGUACAAAUUUGCAUGGGCCUUCUUCAUCCAUACAAGGUGAUGCUCUAUUCCUAGUUUUGUGUCGAUUAUUCUGAUAUAUACUCCUGACUGCGUCUCAUACUGUGUUCUUGUACCAAGUUGGGUGCUUCUUGAUCAGAUACUUGUUUCUUUGAUUAUCCUGAGGCUCUGAGCCUUUCUCGGUGUAUUCUUUUGCUAGGACAGAAAAGUGAGUUUACUAUGCAAUAGCCAAACUGCCAAAGGCAAAAGGGCUGUUUGGGUGUAAUCUAGUGCAAAGAAAACCACAGCCACAUGAUCAGUGAUCAUUUGACCACUAAACUACCCUUGUAUCUGUCAUAUUACCCUCACAAUUAACCCUGGAACUGCCACUAUUUAUGUCUUCGCUCCUCAGCGAGCCAAGAAACAACUUUACUCACUUCAUUGCCCAUCAGUUGUGAAGAAUAAUAGAAACUUCAUUGGAAGGACUCUUGAUUGAUAGUGUAUAUUCAGUCACCAAGUGUGAUUGAGUUAGAACGAGUUUGUUGUUGAGUGACUUCAGUCAGUUGUGAUCCAUGCACAUAUAUAGCCAGGUGACGAGUCAAUGUGCAGAUGGGAAACGUCUGUCUUUUAGCUAAUUCGCAGAUUGACAAAGAAAGGUUUAUAUAGCCAGUUUAUUCAGAGGGUCACCAAAACCUGGUCCAUUCCUUUGAAAUGAGAUUCUUGUAGUCUACUACUCUACUUUACAAUGGGUCUCACUUGAAAACACAAUAUUCCGAAGUUUGUUUUAUUAAAACAUCUCUGAUGCCAAUACAGGUACUCUUACUCGAUGAGAUCACCGUGGAUCUCGAUGUCGUGACCAGGAUGGAUCUCCUCGACUUCUUCAAGGAAGAGUGCGAGCAGGUAACGGUUUUCAGUUCAUUCUAGCUUUUUUCCCAGCCCACACUUUUCUGAUUGCAUAACACGGAAGUUUCUUCUCAGAGAGAAGCCACGAUUGUCUACGCCACCCACAUAUUCGACGGGCUGGAGACAUGGGCCACCGACAUCGCGUACAUCCAAGAGGGCGAGCUGAAAAAGUCGGCGAAAUACUCGGACAUCGAAGAGCUGAAGACGGCCAAGAACCUUCUGACGGUCGUGGAGUCAUGGCUGAAGUCCGAGACCAAGCUCCCAAAGAAAGAGCCCGCGCGCGUCGAGAGCCAGCCCAGGCGCUCCUCCCCGUUCGACGCCUCCCCUUUCCGAGCGUCGCGCCACAUGGCCUACUACCGAUGAUGAUCGUGUAAAACCUCUACACCCAUUCCGGUGUCAUACAACUCUGGAGUCUGUAUCUUUCUUCUUUCUGUUCCUCAUCCAUCCCUGUAUACGGCAAUGUAUCUGUCUAAAAAACAAACAAGUCGAGCUUAAUUAUCCUAUCCCCAUGAGGCCAUUACACUCAUUUUUUACUGUACCGCGUUCUCAAGAUUCUCAUCUAAAUACAGAUUAUACAGUGCUACAUGAAUGCAUUCGUUCAUUCAGUAUUUCAGUCCCUGUCUUUCUGUGAGGAAGUCUCCAUGUAUGCUGACAAAUUUGCUGCCCCAUUUAUCACCAGAAAGCAGAGUGCACCUGUCUCCUCAACCUCAUCCAGCCACUUAACUGUAUCAACAUUGUUAAAUCUACUUACAGCGCAUUCAUAUCAUCAUCAUGCCAUGCGGUGUAACCACGGCGAUUUUCGUCCGGUUUUCAGUUAAUUAACUGGGCAACCACUCUUCCUUGUCAACGCGAUGGAGCAAAACUUUUACCUCAUCCUGCGUGAUCAAAGCAAUUAUAUCCUGCUGUUACUCCUGAGCAAAUGUGUUAAUGCCUCUGAUACUCCUUGAUUGCCUGUUGUACGAAUGUGCUCCGCUUCAACGCGUGGAGUUCCAGGCGCCAGUUGCGGAGACGCGUCUCAUCUCAUCCGGUUGGUGCGGCUCCGUGCGUUCCCCGGUCGCUGUCCGCUUGCCACAUUUGCACACCACCCUUGAUCCUUUCUAACUAACCCAGCCUCGUCCUCCUUAGUCUAAUCCCUCUAACUUAAUCCGACCGUGACGUGCUCCACGUGGGGAGCCAGUCAGUGUGCAGGGACGGUCUCCGUCUGUCGCCAUGAUUAUAUCGCCGUCCUGGGUUCCUGGCUGACAUUGACCUCACUAAUCACGGGGGUUCGCCGGUUAACUGACGGGGUUUACUAAUCGGCGACGGGAUUAUCUUUUGUGUUCUCUCGGAACCAACGGCUCGCGGAUGGCUCCAACUUGCGCACCGGCCAGCGCUAGGAAAAUCGUUUCUGUCACACACAUCUUCUUACCUUAAGAUAACAUCUUCAGUCUCAUUGGUUGCAUCCACAGCGCAAUGCAAUGCAAUGCAGACGGUGUAACUCUCAAUCGAGCUUUAUAAGUACCACCCCCUCCGUCCCACAUCAAACUAGCUUGCAACAACGUGGACGGAGGGAGUACCUUUACAGUACGGGCACUCGAUGGUUUUUUGCUUGCUUUCGACCCUUUUGUAUUUGUAUCUAACAAUGAUAAUGAUACCACCUCGCAUUCCAUGGUGGGUGUAUCUAUGGUACCUCAGCAACUAAAUAUAAGACUGUUUUAUGGUUAAUUUAUUACUCCCUCCGGUCCAAAAUAUAAGUUGUACUAGUUUUUUUUUUAAGUCAAGCCUCUCUAACUUUGACCAAGUUUAUUAAGAAUUAUUAUCUGCAGAAAAAAAAAGUUUAUUGAGAAAUAUAUGAAUGUCUACAAUACAAAAUCAUCAUUACAUUCUUCAUGAAAUAUAUUUUCAUAUUUCAUUUAUUUAGUAUCAUAGUUGUUGACAUAUUUCGUUAUAAACUUGGUCAAACUUAGUAAUGUUCUUACCUAGUAGUUAGUAGUAGUAGAAACAUGCAUGGGGAACCUUCCCGGUAAUCUCAUAUAUUUCGCAACGGAAGGAGUACUAAUCAAUCAAGAUAUAUUUUCAAACCUUACCGAUAGUCUGACAUAUUUUGGACCGGAAGAAGUCUUCUUGAAAAACUAGCACACCUUAUAUUUUGAAACGGGGGGAGUACUAAUCAAUCAACAUUUUUACAAUAUUCUGAGCUAGUUAGUAGUAGUGCAAACAUGCAUGGAGAACCUUCCCGAUGAUCUCAUAUGCACUAUUAUGAAAACAUAGCAAUCGCAUGAGCCAUGGAGGACGUUUUUCCUUUAUGAUAUUCAUUAUUGAUGGAACAUUUUCUUUUCUCUUUUCUGGGAUUCUCCCUCACAUCUCCACCCCACGAAUUGCUAGACCUUUUUCUUUUGCGGGGACACAUAUUGAUGGAGUUGAGAACAUAUUCAGUACUUUUCUCUUUAUUUAUAGUGCUUCUAUGCUACGCAAGUACAAAUGCUGUAGACUUCCAAAAAUAAGUUGACAUGACAUGUCACACAGCGUCAAGUCCAAACUCGAUGUACCGAUCGAGGAAGCCAAAAGAACAAUGUUUCUCUCUUUACUUUACUUUAUUACUUUACCUAUUAAUGUGUGAUUGGUCGUUACUCGCUUAUUGUACACUACAAUGCUCUGUUGCAUCAAUCAAUUGCAGUUCUAUGCGGCUCCAUGGAGGUCUUCCUCCUCUUCACGACCUCACAUCAAUCUUUGUUGCUUGAUGUAUGUUUCGGUGUUAGUCGUCAGGGCUUCGGUCGGCGGACGGUAUGGCUUCGACAACAGUGGUGGCUACGACGAACAAGCGUGCUCCAAAUCCUCCCCUUUGAUGGGACGGCUUCCUUCCCCCCCUCAACAACGGCAGAUCUGGAAAGCUCGUGUGUGCAUACCUGGAUCGUGGAUCUCGGUGCACGUUUUUAGCCUCCAGGCAAGGUUGCCGAGGUUGCGGCGCGACUACAUUGGAAUGAAGCGAGCUUCGGUCCUCAGGGCAAGGGUGGCCAUCUUCCUCUACUCCACGAGGUGACAGAGACAACAAGGGCCAAAGGGUGCACCGUUAAACCCAUCAUCGCUUGAGGAUCCACGUCGUCGGUGCUUCUCGACAGAGUUUGAUGACUUAUCGGCUACUUGCAUUGAUGUUACUUUCCUGUUUCUGAUGCGUGAUAACAUGUGUGUCCGAGAGGAAGAAGGCGGAUGAUUUUUCAAGGAUGAUACUGUAUUUUUAUUUUCUCCCACGACGUACUUAUAAUGAGCAUUAUCUAAUUUGAGCACCAACCCUUCCGAAGAAAGAUAUGACAUUUUACUUUUUCUCCUCUCUUGUUCUCUCGCAUCCGCACCACACAAAUUGCUCGGGGGAGAAUAUAUUCAGCCUGUGUACGCAACGCAAGUGCAAACCGGGCACGCCUAAAAAGCGACGUAGGCUGCCAAAAAUACUCGGCAAGACCGAUACGCGGUUCUUUUGACACAUCACAAAAUGUAAGCCCAAACCGGAUGUACAUUCAGGCCGUCGAGGAAGCCAAGAGAACAAAAACGUAUGCUCCUCUUUGCGUCGCUAGCGUGCACUACAACGCUCUCCCGCGUCGUCGAUCCCGUCGCAGUCCAUGCAAGUAGCAGUAACAAAAUCGCCACGGCAUCUCCGUCAAAACCCAACACGAGGAGAACAUGCGUGACGGGAACGAGGAUCCCGCCGUGGAUGCCAAGUUGCCAAACCCUCACGAGCAAAACAUGGGCGAAUUGAGCCCGGGGUCUCGUCAAGAAGACCAAGAAAGAGGCAAGAAGACUAGGGUUAAUAAUUAAUCAAUCGGCGUGCACGACGAAGUUACCGCCGCGUUCCGUCGCCGCGCGCACGGCACUCGGCCACACCACGCGACGUCAACGGCCGGCCACCGCCCUCCCAGUCCCAGGCCGGGCCGUCCGUCCAUCCGUUCCCUGGAAGCCCUGAGAUCGGCGUCGUCACCGGCCGGACGCGGGCGGCGCAGGCUGGCCAUGCGUCCGUCCGGCAUAUCCGUCCCCGUCAAUGUCAUAGUCGCUUGUCUGCCGUGAAGAGCAUCAAUUAAUGGCCACCGUCGCGUUCCGCAUUUGUUUCCCACCUACAUGCGUCAAAUCCCCUCCCCCGUCUCAACACACACACCCCUUCAUAGGUGUCACCACACACCCUCUCCCCUCAUCCCCAUCGCCGGACCGCCUUCUGUCAUCUAUUCCCCAUCCCCGUCGCCUGCACAAUCACCCCAAUCGAUCAUGUCGGUGCGGCCGCACCCUCCAUGCAAACCUUUUGUUGCCAAGACCGAAGAGGACCACACCAAGAGAGAAUUAAUGGAAGAGCGCGUGGGAAUUCUUGGAGGUUGAAUCAGCCGUCAGCCGCUCUCAAGUACUUCCACCGCAUCUCGAUGGUCGCCCCCACGGAAAUGGAAGCCGUGCUCACACCGGUCUUCAAGGAUGUGGCCUUGCCCCGCAUCCGAGACACACCUGCAUUCACUGAAUGCAUGGCCAUAGAAAGUCGGCGCAGCUGAAGCCUUCCCCCGCCUACGAGGUUACUUCCAAGAGAAAGAAGAGCCCAUAGUUCAAGGAAUCAACGUGAGUCUCUUUAAGGUUGUUCAUCUCCUGGUUGUUUCUUUGAAUCCAUUUUGUAAAUCCUAGGGUAAACCAGUGAUGAAAUUUGGUACCAAAAACCUUCCAUGCCGAGGAAUGAAAUUGAACUGAUGUCCGAAUCACAAGUGGGACGCACAUGAAGGAACAGAAAAUGAAGGCCACGUUACGAUAAAUAUGUAUUCGCGCACAACCACCGCAGCUUCCAUAUCCCCUAUGGCGGCCGGCGGUAAGGCGGACCUGCUAUAGAUGCCCUUAGUUGUUAGGGUUUUGUCGGUGGACACUGUGGCUUUGGCAACAGUGGUGACUACAACGAAUGUGUGUNNNNNNNNNNNNNNNNNNNNNNNNNNNNNNNNNNNNNNNNNNNNNNNNNNNNNNNNNNNNNNNNNNNNNNNNNNNNNNNNNNNNNNNNNNNNNNNNNNNNNNNNNNNNNNNNNNNNNNNNNNNNNNNNNNNNNNNNNNNNNNNNNNNNNNNNNNNNNNNNNNNNNNNNNNNNNNNNNNNNNNNNNNNNNNNNNNNNNNNNNNNNNNNNNNNNNNNNNNNNNNNNNNNNNNNNNNNNNNNNNNNNNNNNNNNNNNNNNNNUCAAGGGUGACCGUGUUCCUCUAGUCCAUGGGUUGACAGAGACAAGGGCUAAAGGGCUCACCGUUGAACCUAUCACCGCCUUCUCCUCUAUGUCACGGACCCUUCCAGAUCCAUUCCGUUGGCGAUUCUUGACGGAGUUUGGUGUCUUUCGUGGAAUAUUACCGCCAUGUUUCGAUGGUGCCAUUUUCCGGCGUGCCGACAACAUGCGCGAGAGGAAGAAUGUGGAUGAUUUUCAGUUAUCAUAAUGAUUUUUUGUUUUUUCAGAAGACUUUUUCAUAAUGCUUCGCUGUCUAGCUUGAGCCCUAAUUCUUUGGGAGAAAGAUAGGACAUUUUCUCUCGCAUCCGCACCGCACAAUUUGCUAGGGGGGAGAAUAUAUUCAGCCUGUACGCAACGCGAGUGCAAAUCGUAGACGCCUAAUUAAAAAGCGACGCAGGCUGCCAAAAACAAGCUCGGCAAGAUCAGUACGCGGUUCUUUAGCAUAUCACAUCACAAAAUGUCAAGUCCAAACCCAAUGUACAUCCAGAUCAUCGAGGAAGGCAAGAGAACAACGUACACGCCGGCCGAUCGUACUACGACGAGCGAGUAGCGUACACCACAAUGCUCUCUCGCGUCGAUGAAUCGAUCCCGUCGCAAUCCAUGCAAAUAUGCAGUAAUAAACUCGCCACGAUUUGCUCCAAAAAAAAGGAAAAGAGAGAAAAAAACUCGCCACGAUUUGCUCCAAAAAAAGGAAAAGAGAGAAAAAAACUCGCCACGAUUUGCUCCAAAAAAAGGAAAAGAGAGAAAAAAACUCGCCACGGCAUCUCCGUCAAAAAAACCCAGCACGAGGAGAACAUGCGUGGUGGGAACGAGGUCCAGACCUCUCACGAGCAAAACAUGGGCGAAUUGAUCCCUGGAUCUCGUCGGAGAAGAAGACUUGAUUAAUCGAUCGGCGUGCACGACGAAGUUACCGCCGCGUUGCGUCGCCGUGCGAUGCGCCGCGGCCGGACCCGGCCACGCCACGCGACGUCAACGGCCGGCCACCGCCCCUCCCAUCCCAGGCCGGGCCGUCCGUCCGUUCCCGGAAGCCCCCCGGAUCAUCACGUCGUCGCCGGCCGGACGCGGCCGGUGCAGGCUGGCCGUGCGCCCCUCCGUACAGUGCAUCUGGCCGUGGGAUGGACCGAGAUUUUUCCGUUGGAUGUAGGGUGGCGCGGUGAGCGCAGAACGUGUCGGGCGGUACCUAACCUGGCGGGCCCACCACGAGACGCCCUUCUAUCCGGUAGGAAGGAAAGAAAGAAAGAUGCUCCUGCCCCACCGCCGCAGCAGCAGCUGCGCCCUAGCUACGUGCCGCUUAAUUUUUCUUUAAUUAAUGCCCUAUCUUUAUUAGCCAAAUGAAAUGAUCCGCCCCUUUAAUUAUCACCAUCCACACCAUUUUAGCCUGCUAACAAUACACUUCCUCCCUCCCAAAAUUCUUGUCUUAGAUUUGUACAUACUACUAGUAUAUGGUAACUAACCUUAUUAAACAAAAAGAUAUAUGCUAACUACUUUCUCUGUUCGGAAUUACUUGUCUCGAAAAUGAAUGUAUCUAGAACUAGAAUACGUCUAGAUACAUCCAUUUCUGCGACAAGUAAUUUCGAACGGAUGAAGUAUGCAUUUGGACCAAUUAUCCGGAUAACCUUUUUUUUCCGGCAAGAAGAGGGGGACACGCAUCGCGCAAAAGCAGCUCAAUGCUUCUUGUGCUAACAAGGCACGCUGACCACGCUUUUAGACGCGAAACCGCGUGUUUGUGUUUGUGUUUGUGAUGCUAACAACAACAACAACCGUUCGGGUCACGUGGUGGAAAGGCGUUGAUUUCUUCAUGCUGGGGCGAAACGAAAAGGCCGGUCGGGAGCCGGUAAAAAGGCCGUGUCGGAGUGACAUGAGUGCUGCUGCCGUGGUGGUCGUCGUGCUGCUGGUGGUGGGCACCGGAACGAAAAAGGAUUCCGCCCGACUGGCCCUUUUUUAUUUAUUCUGCAUAUUAGAGUUGAUUGAAGUCAAACUUCGUAAAGUUUGACCAAGUUUAUAGAAAACAAUAUAAACAUUUAUUAUAAUAAAUCUAUACGAUGUGAAAGUACAUUUAAUAAUAAAUCUAAUGUUGUUGAUUUGUUAUUGUAUAUCUUAAUAUUUUUGUAUAUGAACUUGGUCAAAGUUUGUAAAGCUUGACUUUGACCGAAGCUAAUAUGCGAACUAAAUAAAAACGUAGGGAGUACUAGCAUCAAGCAAAACACUUUGACUUAUCCGGACAAAAUCACCGGCCUAAUACCUAGAGAUAACUAAACCCAUUCAAUUCAAUUCAAACAAAAACAGUAUAUUACCUAGAAAUAAAAGGAUUUUAUUUGCUCCCAAAAAGAAUGAUUUUUUCUGCAGUCAGUGGCUAGCAACGGAAGGAAACCAGAAACGGGCUGUGUCUGGCUGGCUGGCCGUUGGUUAGUACUCCUUCCGUCCGAAAAUACUUGUCAUCAAAAUGGAUAAAAGAAGAUGUAUCUAGACAUAUUUUAGUUCUACAUACAUUUUUUUAUCCAUUUUGACGAUAGGUAUUUUCGGACGGAGGGAGUAGUACGUACUACUACUUACCAGUGACCGCAAUCAGUCGGUGAGUUUUGUGCGUGUAACCGGUCCGCCCCUCUAUUUACUAAUCAUCCACCCAUCCAUCCCCCAUCCCACGCCUCCACCUUUCCCCCACACCCUCCCUCGCUGGUCGCCGUCUUCGCCUUCGCCUUGCUCUCUCCCCCACCCCCACCCCCCUACCCUCCGUCCGCCGCCCCGCCCCUCCUUCCACCGCCGGCCGGAGGAACCUAGGCUGCUUGCUGCCUCGUCCGGAGGAGCCCUUUUUGCGCCCGGAUCUCCUCGCUCCCCGCGCGCAACCCAACCCGCCGGCCCGCUCGCUUCGAUUUGUUUCGUUUAUUCGAUUCUUGCUUCCCGUUCUGUACAUAUCUGCUCGGUCGGCGCCCGGAUUUCUCGGCGGCGUGUCUGGAUCUGGGCUGUCGGACGAAAUCCCGGCUCGAUUCGCUCCCGGGCGCCGCCGCGGCGGGUUUGGAUCUCGCGGGGUUACGAGAGGGGGGAGAGAAAGUCGUUGAUUCGUCGGGAGGCAGGCAGCGGUAACCGGAGAUGGAUCACAUCGUCGGCGGCAAGUUCAAGCUCGGCAAGAAGAUCGGGAGCGGAUCCUUCGGGGAGCUCUUCCUCGGUCAGCUCGCCGCCCCUCUCCAAUAUUCCUCUUCUUUUAUCCUCCUUGCUUCUGCUUCUGGGAUGUGAAGCAAGGUGCUGACUUUGCCGCUCGUCUUGCUUGCAGCUGUGAAUGUGCAGACCGGAGAGGAGGUCGCCGUCAAACUGGUACUGGGUUCCGUCCUACUAUGUCCUAAGAGUUUUGGUUAAGUUGAUUCAGGUUGAGAAGAGUCAUAUUGUUUGCUGCUUGUGCUAAAAGAUGAUCAUAAGAUGCACGCUCUAGUGAAAUGCUUGUGUUGCUGUACCUAUUCAGUUUAGCUAGUGGAAAAUAUUUUAGCCGCUGGGGUUGCUGAGACGCUGCUUUGUGGUCCUUCUUCAGGAAAAUGUCAAGACCAAGCACCCGCAGCUCCAUUACGAGUCCAAGCUCUACAUGCUUCUCCAAGGAGGAAGUAAGUCUAUGGUCAUUGACCUUUCUUUGAUCAUGUCUAUCAAUGUAGUUGGAUUGGUUGGUGGUGGCGAAAUUGAGCUGAGAUGUUUAUUUGUUCUCGCUUAACUUAAAAGCUGGCAUUCCGCACCUCAAGUGGUUUGGUGUGGAGGGAGAGUAUAAUGUGAUGGUGAUUGAUCUUCUCGGACCCAGCCUCGAGGACCUCUUCAACUACUGCAGUAGAAAGUUCUCGCUCAAGACCGUGCUCAUGCUCGCUGAUCAGAUGGUGAGAACACCUCCGGUUCAUUGUUAUAUCCCAGUUUUCAGUUUUAUACAGAUUUCUGGUGUUAACCGCAUUCCCUUUCGCCAAACAUUCCAGAUUAAUCGAGUUGAGUACAUGCAUCAAAAGGGAUUUCUUCAUCGUGACAUAAAACCUGAUAAUUUCCUUAUGGGCCUCGGAAGGAAAGCCAAUCAGGUUUGCACUUAUAUAUCCGCACUCUGCUAAUUUAAUUAGACUCUUGUACUCCAGAUACUCCAGACUACCAUCUUGUUUAAAAGCAAAAUAUUGUUUAUGCAUUCUGCCAGUUAACCACAUAGCUUAUUGUGUAGUGUGUUGAUGUUAUUAAUUGUGGAGUGUUGGGUUUGUGGUUUGCAUUCUUGAAGAAGGUCCAACAAUGAUGCUGUAGUAGAGAAACAUGGUUUGAAUGCUAAAUUACUGCCCCAGUAGUCCAAUAUCUGAUGAAGUGGUUAAUUGCUAUCAUUGGUCGUGUUAACAUGCUUGUAAUGAUGUUGCUGCUUCUGAGGUAACAAGGACAUGGUUAAUGACCAAGAGUGGAUGACAUAGAUGGUCCAUUGAUACAGGCUGUCAGAUUGUUACUUACAGAGAAUGUCCAUUGGUAUAGGCAAUCGGUUAUGCAACUAACUAAGGCCAUAAGCUAGCAAGGUUUUUUGAUAAAGCUCAUGUUUUAUCUCUGAAUCCAACUAAUUUUGUAUAUUGUUGACAUUCAUGCCAGGUAUAUAUAAUAGAUUAUGGACUUGCAAAGAAAUUCAGAGACCUUCAGACUCAUAAGCACAUCCCCUACAGGUUAGCUUAAACUACUUGUACUGCUGCAAAAUAUAAAUGAUGUUACAGGGGCAUUGUCAACAACUAAAUGUACUUUCCUUGUAUUGAUUAUGAUGCCAUGUUCACUUCAAUGUGCAGGGAGAACAAGAAUCUCACUGGAACUGCACGCUAUGCUAGUGUCAAUACUCACCUUGGCGUUGGUGAGUUUGCUGUGCUUUCUGAAUGAUGAAAUGAGUAGCUAAUUUAAGUUUUGUCUAACAUAAGUCCCUUCUGAUGCAGAGCAAAGCAGGAGAGAUGAUUUAGAAUCACUUGGUUAUGUACUUAUGUACUUCCUCAGAGGCAGGUUAGUGUGUCAUAUCUAUCAUUCCAUACAUGUUGUUUUCUUCCAACGUUUUGCACCAAUGAUAUCUUUACGUUUCUCUAAAUAAUGCUAACUUCAUCCAUCUUUCUACAUUCAACAGUCUGCCAUGGCAGGGGCUGAAAGCGGGCACUAAGAAGCAGAAAUAUGACAAAAUUAGUGAGAAGAAGAUGCUUACUCCAGUGGAGGUAAUUCAUGUUUGGGAACUUAAUGCAUCCCUUUUUUUAGUAACCUCAGUAAACUGACACUUGCAUAUUAUGAUUUGUGCCAGGUACUCUGCAAGUCUUACCCUUCAGAAUUCAUUUCUUACUUCCACUACUGUCGAUCAUUGCGGUUUGAAGACAAGCCAGAUUAUUCUUACCUAAAGAGACUAUUCCGUGAUCUCUUCAUCCGGGAAGGUGUGUGUAUUUGGACUAACUUUACCUUGUUCUCAUGAAUUUCUGCCUGUACCCAUUUCUAACUGCAUUAUUUCUGCAGGAUACCAAUUCGAUUAUGUGUUUGACUGGACCAUUUUGAAAUAUCCCCAGAUAGGCUCGAAUCCAAGGAUGAGGGUAUGUAGUCUUUGGUUGUAAUAAUUGGGUACACUGUCCUGUCAUGAAGAUUGUUAACUUUGUUCACAAUUCUUGGUUCAGCCAAGUGAAAGAGUCAGUGGAGCUGCUGGACCUUCUAUCGAGAAGAUAGAGAAGGCCCCAGGUUUGUUCUUGUGCUCAUGAAAGUUGUUGUAAUGAAACUAUGAUACAAACCAUGCAAUCAUGACAGCCUAGAAGCAUCUUGUGUCACAGGCGAAGCAUCUGCUCGGAGGAAUCCCAGUGCUUCUCUGAAUCAGAGUGACAACCACGCAACCCGACCACGGGAAACUGUAUCGAUGUCAUUAAAGGAGAUUGUAAGUCCAACUCCCUGUUCCAGAAUAGAAGAGAUAUAAACUUUGCUUCGCCGCAUGUAGUGGACCUUCUAUGUGUGCCAUGAACUUGACAACCAUGAAUGUCUCAUUUCUGCAGAUGCAUAGCACAGACCGGUCCGGCGAAAGGACUGUGGAGAGGACCACGGAGAGACCCCGUACAUCCUCUCGUACAGGCAGUGCGUCCAGGAGAGCAGUUGCAUCAAGCAGCAGGCCAGGCUCAUCCAUGCAACCGAGCGAGCAGCAGUACAGCCGAACGAGCAGGUUGUUCUCCAGCAGCAAUAACGGCGGCAGCCGCCCGUCCAGCACCCAGAGAGUCAAUCCUGGAGUGAGCGAGUCGAGGGCCACAUCCCUCUCACGGGCAGCGGUCGCAAGAGGGUCGCGCGACGAGCCCCUCCACCGCAGCCUCGAGCUCCUGUCCCUCGGCACCGGCAAGAGGAAAUAACAGGAAGGGGGGCAAGGGAACCCGAACCCGAGAACGAACGAUGGAACAAGGAAACGACGCUGUUUGCGACUCUGUAAAUGACAGGAUACCACCACCCUAUUCGUCAACAGUCCGCCUGGAGCAUCCCAUAAUUCCAUGGUGCUCCAGCCUGUUGGUAGUAUCACCACCACCAUCAUUGUUUGAUAGAUAGCAAUAAUUUGCUGCUGCUGCUGCUGCUGUUGGUUGUUGUUGUCGUCUUCGUCGUCGGCGUGUGCGCGUUAGGGCCAAGUCCUAGCUUCGUGGUGAUUAAUUUAGAGGUGGUCAAGAUUCAACAUAUUUAUGUUUCUUUAUUACCUUCCCGCUGGGACUUGGCAAACUUUUUUCUGAGACUUUGUUGUAUUUUCUCUUCCCGUUUGUUGCUACCUCUGGAUCUGCUUGUUCAGCAACAGAAAGUUGAUGAAAGUAACUUCCAGUAUGAAAAUUCCAGUCUCCUUGAUUAUAGAUAUUCUUGCAUUGCAGCAUCGUGACGUAUAUGGAUUGUGAUUGUAUAAGAUUUUUAAAAAACUCUGAUUGUACAAGAAAUGGCCAUUUUUGGAAGAGAAAU